Molecule: long non-coding RNA, 51885 nt
Filed under: Vitis vinifera (wine grape)
Lineage: Eukaryota; Viridiplantae; Streptophyta; Magnoliopsida; Vitales; Vitaceae
Description: long non-coding RNA (VVIN_LNC004463)
Source: RNAcentral
AACACAAAAACAUCCCCCUUGUUCAGGACUUUGCUAAUGAAGCGGUGUUCAGGGUUGGAUGUGAUAAAGCCAACAAAGAGUGUUCCCUCCAAGACAAUGAAGACCUCACUGGCACGAGGGUGAAAGUGAGGAGGGUUUUGACCAUUAGGUUCAUAAUCGAUACGAGCCACUGACACCCCAAGAGUGUUUUCUCCUGGUAAUUGAUCAACAUUUAUAAGAUUGACAAUUGAGCCCACAUAAUUUGAUGUGUUUCCUGGAAUAUUCAGCCCUUGAUACAAGAAAUCCUCGGCCACGGUCAGGUUUGGGUUCUUGCAGAACUUCCCAUUUACAAAUACUGCAUGAAGAAGGAAAAAAGAAAAGAUAUAUCAUUAGUAUCAAACCAUACUCACCAUAUCAAUAAAAAGAGAAGUACUGAAAAUAGCUAUAAGAUCAUUGGUUACUAUAGAAAUACCAGCAUUAUUGGGCUCAUCAACGGCAACACAGGUGUCUUCCAGUGGGCUUGGAUCAUAGGCAGAGGCAAGAAAGGAAGCCAAUGCCAUGAAGGCCACGGUUACCAGGAAACUAACGCCUCUCUUCAUUGUUAGAGUACUGCCUCCAACAAUCACAAUCUUUAUCUUUAGGCGGGGAUAAGAAAUUUAGCAUGGAAAAGAUGUUAAUUUAUAGACCAGAGUCGAUGAGUUAGUCUUUGCAUAAACUCACCAAGUCUUCAAUGGGAAGUUUUUUCUUCUUUCUUUUUUCACUUUCGAGGACAAGCGGUUGCACCAAUACAUGUUGAUUUACGUAGGAUUAGUCAGUAAACAGAUCUUAACCAGAAUAUAAAGCAAUGUACAAUCAGGUGGAGGCAGGUCCAAUUUAAUAUCAAUCUGCAUGAUCCAAACGUUUACAUUGUUUCAACAUUUUUGUAUUAUGGUUUUUAUGAACUGUGUUUUUUUGAGUUGUAAGGAAGAAAAACUUAGGUUUAAAGUUCUAGCAUAGAAGAAAAAACCUGUAGAUUAAUUGAUUUUUUAAUCUGAACCAAACACAUGAUCAACUCCAUAAAAACAAGUGGAAAACAAGAAAAAAUGAAUGAUUUUUAAUAUGUAUUUGUGUGAGAAUGAUAGGUAUAGAUUUUUUUUUGAGAUAUACUGCCACAUAAUCUUCAUCCCUUCUAAAAAACGAGAGAGAAAAAAAAAAGAAUGAUUUUUCUGUUUGUAUCUAAGUGAGAAUGAGAUAUAGAAUUUCACUCCAGACGCAUUAAUUUUAUCUCAUACUGCCAUGCUAGACCAAAUCAGCCCUUAACGACAACCACACUGUUUUGUGGGGGGGGGGUUACUUUUGUUCCAUUAUAUUCACAGAAUCUUCAAAUCCAUUCUUUGGAUUAAUCUGCAUGAGGAAAUCUGUUACUGUUAGUGACGGAAACCUGUUAUUGUUAGUACCGGAGUCAACUGUUUGACUGGGUGGGUUCCAAUCAGAUCCUAAGGAAUGGGUCCAAAGGUCAUCCAUUAGAGUUAAUGGAAUUCAUUGUUGUUCUUGUGCCUUGAUGUGUGAGCCCAACACGCACAGAUGCAACUAGGGAUGGCAACGGGGCGGGUUUUUUCGGGUACCCGCCCUGCCCCGCCCCUAAUGGGAUGGGGUUGAAAUUUAAUAAAUGGGUUUUUAACGGGUAUAAGAUUUUUUUUUUUAAACCCGGGGCGGGUUCGGGUAUUGCCCCAUCCCGCCCCGCCCCGCCCCGCCCCGCCCCGCCCCGCCCCGUUUACAUAUAAAAUCAAUUUUAAAAUUUAAUUUAAUUUAAUUUAAAUUUUAAAAUUAAUUUUAUUUUACUAUUUUUAAUAUAUAGAUAAUAAAAAAAAAUUAAUAAAAUAAAUUAUAAAAAAUAUAAUAAUUUUAUUAUUUAUAAAUAUAUUUAUUUUAAUGUAAUUAAAAAUUUUAAAAGCAAUUUUUUUUUUUUUUAAAAAGGAGGCUAAACAGGGCUGGGCGGGGCGGGUUUGGGAAUUUCCCAUACCUGCCCCGCCCCGCCCCGCCCUGCCCCGUUUAAUUUUUUAAACGGGACGGGGAUGGGAAUUAUUUUUAAUAAACGGGGCGGGGUUGGGAUGGGGGCGACCCGUCCCGAACCUGCCCCGUUGCCAUUCCUAGAUGCAACAGUAUGAGUCAUGUGCAGGUAGAUUUGAAUAGACACAUCUUGGCAUCGGGAUGGCUUGAGCAAGGUGUAGUCUCCUACAAUAGGAAGCAUGGUGAACUGAUGCAUCACAUGAGCAAGACUCCUAUUGCAUGAGACAUACUCCUAUCACAUGAGACUUCUAGUCAAAGUGGGAGAUUGAGACCUAAUAUUGCAGGAAGAGAAAGGGACUCUUGACAUGAGAAGACUCCUAAUCGGGAUAGAAAACUAAAUCUUCAUGCAUAAGGAGAUAGAGAGAUGUGGCAUGAGAGUUUUAGAUUCAGUAGGACUUGGAGUCCUACUCAAAUUUGUCAUCUGUUAAGCUUGAGUCGGACGCAAACUAGGACUCAAAAGUUAGUCUCCUAGUAGGAUUAGGAUGGCUUGGUGCAACCUUCAUAAAAGGAGGGCGUGACCCAAUAGGAUGCUCCAAAAAUGGUACCUUACGUGAUAGGAAGGCCCCUUCAAAAGUCAUAUUGCUUGUACCACCAAGACACCACCACUAAGUAUUUGUCCAUAUCUUAAUCCAUGUGUGCAUGGAGAUGAACAUAAAUAUAUAUAGAAAAGAUAAAUAUUAGAAGACAAGUCUCCACAAAGAGACAAAAAUAUAGAAGGCUUCGGUCAACCAAUCCCGCUAUGCGUGGCAAAUGUUUCAGGGGACUGCGUAGGAUUGAACAGCCUUUGCUAGAGGGAAGAUCAAUCUAUGGGCGUGAAUAAAGAGAGAACUGGAGAAGUAUUGGAACAGGCGGGUCACCUCAGUUGACCAGGAAACAUGGCAUUAGUCAACGCAAACCUUGGCUUUCGAUCUCUACAUCGGUGCUGAAUAUUGUUGAACGGAAACACGUGGCCAGCUACAUUGGUUCUAGACAACAAAGGCUGCAACAAUUAACCUGAAAUUGAAAAUUUUGAAAUUUUUUUGAAAACAUAACAUCUUAAGAUGACUGGUAACCUUCUCUUAUUGGUUGGCUCUAAAUCAAAACCACUAUACAUGCAUUGUUCAAUGUAUAUAUGAUGUAGCAUUUUUGUGUUUUGUCUUUUACAAGUUGUAUAUAUUGGAAAAUUCUGACACCAUACAAAAACAUAGAAAAGCCACAAAUACCGCAACUUGCAUAUUUUCAUUUUAUGGCUGAAACUUUUCAAUGAAUCAUUAUCUUUAUUUCAAACUUUAAAAUUUUGAAAACAUAACAUCUUAAGAUGACUCGUAACCUUCUCUUAUUGGUUGGCUCUAAAUCAAAACCACUAUACAUGCAUUGUUCAAUGUAUAUAUGAUGUAGUAUUUUUGUGUUUUGUCUUUUACAAGUUUUAUAAAUUGGAAAAUUCUGACACCAUACAAAAACAUAGAAAAGCCACAAAUACCGCAACUUGCAUAUUUUUAUUUUAUUUUAAUUAUUUAUAGUUGAUUAGGUUUAUGGUAUGCCAUGUUGGAUGCUUUCAGAUUUUACAGAUCUAAGUUACUUUUAUUUUGAGAACGAAUAUUCCAUAAUUCAACCUUUUCCUUUUCUUGUUGGUAAUCAUGAUACAUAAAAUCUAGGAAUGCUAAACACAUCUUUUUUAAAAGUACUAUAUUGUAUUACAAUAGGAAAUGGCUUUUAUCAAAAGAGAAAUAUCCUUAAAUUGAUUAGGCCUAGCUCAUACUUUCAUCAACCAUAUGAUGACAUGAAAAAAAUCAAAGAAGAAAUAUGGGAAAUGGUACGAAAAGAGAUGGGUAGUAAUAACAUGAGACAACAACUUGUUUUACAACUAGUUGUAGCAGAAAAACCAAUGUUUAAAAUGAUAGAAGAGCCCCAACCACCAGAACCACCACUGAAACACAAGGUAUGCAUUUACUUACUAAUAAUACAAGAUUAAUAUAAGUGACAUAAAGCCUAUGUAAAUGAUAUUAUUUGUUGUAUUGAAGGUAAUUAAAUGUAAAUUAGCAGUGGAAAGAAAAGAAAAUGUUGUUCCAACUGGUACACUAAUAGAAGAAAAAGGAUCGAAUAGGUUGGUUGUAAUAAAUGCUGCACACAAGCCAGAUGCUAGACUCCCAUUUCCAAAUCCAUAUGAGAUUAUCAAUGUUGGGGAUGCUAUUGGCUUUGAGCUUGACUGGCCAACAAGCCUUGUCAUACUUGAAACUGAACAUCCUUAGGUAUGUCAUUUUAUGCCUAUAGUAAAUUUGAUUGUAACUUGGUAUUUUAUUGUUUAGGAGUAUAUAUAUCUAACAUUCCUUCCUUUUUCAUAGGUGUUGGAUAAAGGAAAGAAGAAGAUAGUGAAGACACCAAUUUUUUGAAAAUCUAAGCCUCAAAAUCAUUCGGUCAUUAAAAAUUUUCAAAAAUUUGUGGAUGGUUGUCUUGGUAAUGACAAGACAUACCCAAUACAGCUCCCCAUUUCACUUUUUGGUGUCGAAUUUCAAACAUAUAUAUCUAGAGAGGAUUGUGAAUACAUUAUUUCAUCUUUAGAGGUGUCAUCAAACUGCAUCUCCUUCUAUUUAUGGUGUGCACCUUUUAUUUUCAUUUGUUUUUAUUUUUUUAAAUAUGAGUUGCCCAUGUUGAACGAAAUUGGAUAUGACUAAUGAUAAUUUUCUUUUGGUGUUUUGAUACAAUAAUAGGCACAUGCAUGAUCAACUACAUAUUGCCAAAAAGGAAUCACAAUUUAUAUUUGUUAAUCCUUUUACAAUAUCACGAGCAAGCCUUAGUACUCAUCAAACAGAGAAAAGAGCACAAUUGUUGUCAAAACGCUUAAUGGAGUGCCAAGAUGCUAAAUAUGUUUUCAUACCUUACAACCCUGAGUAAGUGACAAAUAUUAUACUUUAAUUUGAGGUUUUAUGAUUGAUUUAUAUUUCUAAUUAGACGCUACUUUUGUUUUUAAUGUUUUAGCUUUCAUUGGGUCUUGGUGGUGAUUGAGCCAAGGAAAAUGAUAGUCCACUAUCUUGACCCUAUGCAUCACAAACUAUUUGAGGACUUAAAGAAUAUCGUAAACAUGUAAGUUCUUCCUAUUAUUUUUCAUAGUAUUAUUUUUUUUUUUUUAUAAAAAAUACAUUCAUCUCAAACACAUUGAACUUAUUUACAUAGGGCACUUCGAAUAUCUACAAAGAAAACAUCUAAAAGGGAGCCAUCUUGGCAACUAGUGCAGGUGACAUCCAAAAAAUUUUCUUUACACAUUAGCUUAUGCAUUUGCACCAUUUAUAUAUAUGAGUACUAAUGUUAUUUUAUAAUUGAUCGAUUAGUGUCCAAGACAAGAAGGAGGGUUCGAAUGUGGCUACUUUGUUAUGAGAUUCAUAAAAGAGAUAAUUUUUUAUCCUACAAUUAUUGCUUCAAAGGUAUUACAAAUUUAAUGAAUUGUACAUAGUUUUAGGCUUCCAAAUGUUAUGCAUUUUAAUGUUAUUUUCUUAUUUGAUUUCAGUUUGGUGAUAAAAAAACAUAUUCUCAAGUAGAAUUCGAUGAAAUUAGAGAAAAAUGGGCUACUUUUGUGCUACAACUAAUCAUGAAUCAUGUUGAUGCAUCAUGAUCACCAUGCAUGGUGAGUCCUUUAGCUACUACAUGAAUUUUUCCAUAGGUUCUUUGAAUAAUGUUUCUAUUUGAAAAAAAAAAAGAAAAAAAAAUAGUUCUUAGAUUUUUUUCAUUUAUGAUAACAUCGAUCCAUGUUUAUUUUCUUCAAUAAAAAUCUAUAAAACUCAUUAAACUAUGAAAUGCAAGUAUACACUUUUGGGAUGGUGGAAUGGAGAAUAAAAAGAAAGAAGAAGGCAACAAGAUUUUGGGUUUUUAAAUGCAACUCUUAUGUCAUACGUUGUAGGACAUAAAUGUUAAUUUAAUUAGUACUGAGAAAUUUAGAUUUUUAGAUGGGACUUUUAUGUCAUUUUAUAGUUAGCCGGUUUUAUGCUUAUGAAUUGGAGGUAUACAUGAAUCUUGGGAUCUUUAACAUUUCUAAAUCAUGUUUUGGUAUGUAUUCACUCUUCUUUUUUUAGUUUUGAUGGGUUUGAUAUGUUGGAUGUACUAUCUUUUUGUGAACAUUUGAUAUACAAAUAUUAUUAGAUGAUCAAUGUAUUAUGAGUUAUUCUAGAAACAUUACAGAAAAAUGAGUUAAAUAUAAUAUUAUUGUUAUAUUUAUGGACAAAAAAUAAAUAGGUUAAUCUUACUUAUUAAUUCAUAAGCAUUACAAAAAUUUAUAACUAAAAGCAAUCAUAUCUUCCACAAUAAUUUACAAUGAUGUGACACCAUUACUCAAAGGUGAUGCAUUUAAUAUGACAUUAUAAUUCAAAGAUGAUGCAUUUAAUGCGAUACCCUCUCAUCACUAGAAAUAUAUGGUGUCACUUCCGAAUGGGUCACCAUUUAUCUACUUUGGUGUCACUUCCAAAUACGUUACCAAUUGGUACCCUCUAUGGUAUCAGUGGAGAAGGUGACGCUAUGUUGUAGUGACACCCUAUGUUUAUGGUAACUCGUUAUAAAUGUCACCAUAUAUCUUUUUCCCUAUAGUGUAUAGCUCCAGUGAGGCUGUUCUCAGAGAAACAAAGGUAUGUCAAGUUUGUCAUUUGGCCUAGUACAGCAGGAAUGCUUCCAGUCAGAUUGUUAUCGUCCAAGUCUAUUGUCUCCAGGCUCCAAUAGCCUUGUAUGGAGGCUGGAAUAUUGCCUCCAAGCUUAUUACAACUCAUGUUUAUGAAUGUUAACUCAGAAAGCUCUCCAAUGGUAGCUGGGAUCCCUCCAUACAAGCUGUUGCCUUGCAAAGAGAGGGUGGUGAGAUGGGAUAGAUUGGAUAUGUAUGGUGAGAUAACUCCCUGUAAGCGCAUGUUUAUGAGCUUGAUUGACUCUAUUGAUAUUUUGUUGGUUGAGCAUGGAUUUAUGACUUAUAACGCACACGUGGAGGGUUGAAUUUCAUGAAAGAAAAUGAGGGUCAGAAAAAUAAUAAAUGGCAAGACAUUGAGCUUAUUGUGGGUAUGAUUGGGUACAAAUUCUUUUGUAUAUAUCUACUUGGGGUAUACAAUUGAAUAUUUAAUUUAGGAAGAUUCAAAAAAUUGUUUUCAAUGAAAUUCAAUAAUAAUAAUAAUAAUAAUAACAAUUGCCUGGAAAUUUAUUUAUUUAAUAAACAUUGUUUUGUCAUCAAAGUUAAUUUUUAAUAAAAUUAUCUAAAAAAAUGAAUUUUUAAAUAAAAUUCUAUUUCCUUAAUUAAAAUGGGCUAAAAAGUAAUUUUUGCAAAUUAAUGUCUUAAAUAACCUUUUCAUAAUAAUAGAAUGAGAAUCUUUUUAGCAAAUUGAACUUAUACAAAUCAUUUUCUUUUUGUAAAUAAAGUUUGUAAAAAAAUUAUUUUCUUUAUAAAUAAAAUCAAAUUGAAAUAUUUUUACAACUAAAAGAAUAUUUAGUUGAGCAAGUGAUGAACUAUUUUCUUGUUUAAGUAACCUUUUGUAAUGUUCCCCCAGCAUAAUGGUAGUACAAUAAGAGGGUUUAUUAUGUACUUCUUUCUAUAUGGACUUUGGGUAUAAUAAAAACAAUGCUUUCUCUUUCUCUCUCUCUCUCUCUCCCCCUCAGUCCACAGGUUUAGACCCUUAGCUUUACCCUGCACUAAGUCUUGAAAGCCAAAGAUUAUGCAGAAUCAAACUCUUAAAGUCUACAGCAUGAGUUGAGGAAAAAAGGAUGAGUAUUUAACGUAGUAGUUGAGGAAUGAUUCAAUGUUUGAAAUAUAAAAAAUGCAAUCCAUUGAACACUUAGCUGGCCUAUCUGCUUAUUAUUGUAUACAUAAAACAUAGACUAAUCCGAAGACUUCUAUGUGAUAACUUUAGAAUUUUCAUAUCCAAGGUUUUCACUUCUUUCUCAUCAGAAGACAAAGAUUGUAACUGUUGCAGAAAACCUAACAACCUAGUUUAUUUGUUAAGGUCCCUUUCUCUCAUAAAACAUAAAUAUAUUCACUAUCAAACACCAUAAUGAUAAUAAUAAUUAAUGAUCUUCUUUUUGCUGUAUAUACACUACUUUAGAGUUUGUUCAAUGUUUGGUUACCAAGAAAACACAAGGACUGAUCUGCUGCAUUAAAAGGUUAAUAUGUAGUUCUUCCAUUAGCUAGCCAUUUGGAACUAAGUCUUGUGGAGAACUUUUCAUAUUGGAGAUGGAUAUGAAAUUGGACCUGCCUCCACCUCAUUGAACUUCACUUUCAACAUAUGCAUUGAGAAUAUUUAAGUUAAGAUCAGUAUACUAACUAACCCUACAUAAAUUAACAUGUAUUGGUGAAAACACUUAUCCUUGUAAGUGAGAAAGCAAAAAAAGAAAAAAAAAAAAAGAAAAAAGAGAGAGACCUACCCAUUGAAGACUGUCUAUAAAUUGACAUGUUUCUCAUGCAAAAAUUUUCACCCCUCGCCUAAACGCAAAGAUUUGUAAUUGUUUGGAGACAGUACUCUAACAAUGGAGAAAGGUGUUAGUUUCCUAGUAACUGUGGCCCUCAUGGCAUUGGCUUCAUCUUUUGCCUCUGCCUCUGAUCCAAGCCCACUGCAGGACACUUGCGUUGCCAGACCCAAGAAUGCUGGUAUUUCUUUAGUAACCAACGAACUUGUCUCUAUUUUCACUAAUCUUUCCAAUUCAAUAUUGGGCACAUUAAUGCAGUAGCCAUUGCUGGUCUGAGCAGCCAAAAUCCAGGUGUAAUCACCAUAGCCAAUGCAGUGUUUGGAUCAAAUCCACCCAUCAAUCCCGAUUUCCUGGCAACGGCCUUCCAGUUGGACAAGAAGGUGGUUGAAUUCCUUCAAGCACGAUUCUAGUGGGGAAAUAGAGAAAAUGAAGAAGCUAUGAACCUUUGGUUUUCUUGCUUGAAUGACUAUUUGUGAUGUUCAAUUACCUCAUUACAAUAAGAGGGGUUUAUUACUUUAUUUUGUAGCUCUUUUGGUGUGGAUUUUGAUCCUGAUAUUAAAAUAAAGCAGUUUGUCUGUUAGGCAUCUUCUUCUGUCUCCAUCUCAAUAUUUGUCUUAAAAAAUCUCAUCUUGUGAAAAAACAACUGGAUAACAACUCUCAGUUGAUUGAUUAACCUGCAUGUGCAGAAUGUUUAUUAAGAAGGAAUACUUAGCUAGUUGUAAAACAGUACUACUGUUACUUCCAGCAUAAGUGUCAUGAAAAUUGUGAAGAAAGAAUGGAAAUGAAAACCCAGAAAUCUUAUGACAUCUACUGUAGACAAAUUAAUGUCUUAAAUAAUCUUUUCAUAAUAAUAGAAUGAGAAUCUUUUUAGCAAAUUGAACUUAUACAAAUCAUUUUCUUUUCGUAAAUAAAGUUUGUAAAGAAAUUAUUUUCUUUAUAAAUAAAAUCAAAUUAAAAUAUUUUUGUAAAUAAACUAAAAAUUAAUGUCCUAAGUAAAAAUCAUUUUUAUUGUCAAAUUGGAAUUUUUUGAAUAAAUUCUAUCCAAAUAGAAUUGAAUCAAAUCAUUUAUUGGAAAUAAAUAAAUAAAUUAAAAUCUUGAAAAAGUAAUAUUUAAAAUAUCUUUUUGUAAUCAAUUUAAUAAAUCGGUUUGUAUAAUUCUAAUGUCAUUUAUUUUGUACAUUUUUGUAAUUUAAUUUUAUCAUUAUUUUCUUGUAUAUUAAUUUGUCUCUUUAAUCUUGAUAUUCAUGAUUGAUCAAUUAACUGUCAUAAUUCAUUUCGUUUGUUUAGUAAAUAUUGUUAGUAUACAUGCUUAGAGGAGUAUUACGACUUAUUACUGUACCUUCCUGAUAGGCAACCUGACCCUUGAAUAUAGACUUGAUUUUACAAACAUGUCUUUUCUAAAUGAGGAGUUACACAAAAUUUUCUUUCUUAUUUUGUUCUCUUUUAAAAAAUAAAUUAAAAUAAGUGGCAACCCUAAUUUUUUUAUAAAAAAAAAAAAAAAAUCAAAUUUUCACAAUAAAAAUGAGUCUCACUGUCGAGUGGGAACACACGCAAAAAAUACGGGUCAACAUGUAUCCAAUUGAUUGGGGUCAAUGUCAAGAUGUGUGAUAAAGAUGCAAAUUUGAAUAUGAAUCCUGCCAUUGAUUGAAUCUUGAACUACCCGAUAGUGGUUGUAACAAGUGAGAUAAGUUGCUAAGGUUUGCGUUGAAAAGUUCAGCCAUGGAAAGUUACUAGUCAUCCAAAUAUGUAUAUAAAUCAAAGUGCACAUUCUAAAUCAAAGAAAUCAGCCUCCUUAAGCAAAAGACCUUACAAUUCUUAGAGUAUGUUUGGUAGUAAUUUUAGGAAGUGUUUUUAACUUUUUUAAUAAUUGAAAAAUAAGAAUUUUGAAGUAUUAAAAAAUGUUAGAAACACUUCCUAAAAUCACUAUCAAACGCACUUUUAAUGUAAUUUGCUCUAUCUACCACUUGAUGUGGAUGUUAAGAUUGAUAUCCUUGGUCAUUGCCUAUAAUCCUAUAUCUAUAAUUGCAAGAAGACAUACAUUGAAACAUGAAUACCCUUUCACUAUGUUUGGUUUAUGGAAAAUACUAAGAAAAGAAAAUGUUUUUCUUAUAUUUAGUUUUAUUAUGAAAAAUAAGAAAAAAUAAAAUAUAAUUAUAAUUAAUUAAAAUUUUAUGUAUUUUAAAAUUAUUUAAUAUUUAUAUAAUGAAGGAAAAUAAAUGAAACGAGCUUGAAAAAGUAUAUAAAAAUAAUUUAUUAAUUAUAACUUGUAUGCGACUAUUUUGUACUUUAAUCCCGUUUUUCUUUUAUCCUCUUGUAGGUACCUUGAUUUUAUAUAUUUGUAUCUUUAUUCAAUGAUUUAGAUUUCAUAUAUUUGUAUCUUUAAUUGAGAUUGCAAGAUCUGUACGGAUUCAGAUUAGGGAUGGCAACGCUAUAAGCUUAAGAUAAGUUACUCAUAUCCCAAUCCAUUAUAUUUAUUCGUAUAUGUUAUCAUCCCCACCAAAAAAAGAAAUUAAAUGGGAUGGGACGGGUAUAGGAAAUUCUCAUGCCUACCCCAUGCUAUCCCGUUUUUUAUUUAUUUAUUUUUCAAUUUUUAUUUCUAAAAUUUUAAGAAAAUUAAUAUUUUAAAUAUGUUAAAAAAAUUGAAAACUGAAAAAAGAAAUCAAUUAAAAGAACUUUUUAUUUAACAUUAUACAUAAUUAGGCUGAGGUAGGAUGAAACAAACUCAUACCCAAAAUCACCCCGAAUCAAUCUCGGGUUUUAAAAAAUUUCUCAAAUUCAAGAUGAGACAAAAUCAUAUCCAAAACUAUCUCGAAUCCAUCCUAGAUUUUAAAAAUUUUCUCAAAUUUAUCUAAACUCGUUUAUCAUUAUCUCAAAACGAGCCCAUUAAGGGUAGGACGAGUACUAAAUAAAAUUGGUAUAUUAUCAUCCCUAAUCAAGAUCCUAAAAUUUUUCUUUAUGAUAAUGAAAACAACAAUCAUAGUCGUCAUCUCUCUAUCAGUUUACUUGUUAGGUUUGAUCAAAUACACCUUAUGUGUUGCCUUUGGGCAACCUAGCUCUCUCAAUCAUUGUCUAAAGUUCGGGUGUUUGUUUAUUUUUUUAAUUCAUUUUGUCUUAAGUUUUUUAUUAUUAAAUAAAAUUUCUUUUUGUUACUUUAAACACCUCUAAUAAUUAUACUUUUUAUUUUUUAUAUUUAUAUUUAUCAAGUUUAUAACUGUAAAAUUUAUAAAAAUGUUAGUUUUUUGUUUUUAAAAAUAAUAAAAAGUGAUAUUUAAAGGGUCAAGUGGGCCAGCAUGAUGGCACGAUGGGUUGUUUCCUUAGGCCCACCACGACCCGCUCCUUUGGGCCAUGCCGGCCUGACUCGGUCUUUUGGCGCACUUGGCCACAGGCCAAAAUGGGUGGCUCGACCCAUUGGACACCUCUAGUAGUUACAUGUCUAGCAUCCAAACGUUAGACCAGAUGAGUUUUGUCAAACCCAACCCAUUCAUCCCCUUUGCCUCAUGUUGGCCACCCGGUUCGGACCAGCCUUGACAUGAACGGCAAGGUCCAAUGGAUUAGGUUGAUUUAGGGUCUCGAUUAUUUUUGUUUAAAUAAAUUGCAAAGAAAAAAAAAACUUGGUUUGGAUAAAUAAAUUUCAAUUGUUUUUAAAAUAGGUUUUUAUUUUAUUUUUUGUAAAAUUUUUUAUAAAUUCAAUUUAUACAAUAUUAAUUAUAUGUAAUUGAAGUCUUAUUAAAGAUUUUUUAAAAAAUAGUUUUUAAAUUAAAGAUAAAUUAAAAAAAAUCAUAAAAUAUGAAAUUAAUAUUAUAAUAAAAUCAUAAAUUAUGGUUUUUAUUUAAAAUGAUACUAUUUUAAGAUAUGAUUUAUUUAUUUUUAUAAGAAUGAAUAAUACUAAUUUUAAAAUAAUAAAAGGGUGAUAUAUUUUAUUUGAAAUAAAUUUAAAAAUAAAUAAAUUUUAUUUUUUUAAUACGUAAAUAAGUCAUGUUUUUCAUUAUAUCUACACCCGAGAAUUUAAACUUGACCCAAACUUCAACUAAAAAGACCUAUAUCCAACACAGUUAUUAGAGGUGUCCAAUGGGUCGUGUCGGGCCAACACAAUCCGAUGUUUAUCAGGCCAAUGCGUUGGCUCGACCCAUGCAAGCCAAAUAGGUGGCUUGACAUGGCCCAUAAGCCCAUGUGCUAAUCAUGUCGUGUUGUGCCAUGCCGGUGAGUCGUGCCCCAUGGGCACACACUUUAUUAAAAAUUUUAAUUAAUUUUUUUUAAUUCAUUUUGACUUAAGUUUUUUUAUUAUUAAAUAAAAUUUCUUUUUGUUACUUUAAACACCUCUAAUAAUUAUACUUUUUUAUUUUUUAUACACUUCUAAUAAUUAUACUUUUUUUUUAUAUUUAUAUUUAUCAAGUUUAUAACUGUAAAAUUUAUAAAAAUGUUAGUUUUUUGUUUUUAAAAAUAAUAAAAAGUGAUAUUUAAAGGGUUAAGUGGGCCAGCAUGAUGGCACGAUGGGUUGUUUCCUUAGGCCCACCACGACCCGCUCCUUUGGGCCAUGCCAGCUUGACUCGGUCUUUUGGCGCACUAGGCCACAGGCUAAAAUGGGUGGCUCGACCCAUUGGACACCUCUAGUAGUUACAUGUCUAGCAUCCAAACGUUAGACCGGGUGAGUUUUGUCAAACCCAACCCAUUCAUCCCCUUUGCUUCAUGUUGGCCACUCGGUUCAGACAUUGGGUUGAUUUGGGGUCUCGGUUCUUUUUGUUUAAAUAAAUUGCAAAGAAAAAAAAAACUUGGUUUGGAUAAAUAAACUUCAGUUGUGUUUAAAAUAAGUUUUUAUUUGAUUUUUUGUAAAAAAAAUUAUAAAUUCAAUUUAUACAAUAUUAAUUAUAUUUAAUUGAAGUCUUAUUAAAGAUUUUUUUAAAAAUAGUUUUUAAAUUAAAGAUAAAUUAAAAAAAUUCGUAAAAUAUGAAAUUAAUAUUAUAAUAAAAUCAUAAAUUAUGAUUUUUAUUUAAAAUGAUACUAUUUUAAGAUAUGAUUGAUUUAUUUAUUUAUUUAUUUUGAUAAGAAUGAAUAAUACUAAUUUUAAAAUAAUAACAGGGUGAUAUUUUAUUUGAAAUAAAUUUAAAAAUAAAUAAAAUUUAUUUUUUUUAAUACGUAAAUAAGUGAAGUUUUUCAUUAUAUCUACACCUGAGAAUUUAAUCAAGGAUAUAGUAUUUUGAACUAGUUUUGAGUCAUUCCUAUAAGCUUCAUUCAGUCAUUAUGGUUUAGACAAUUGAUAAUUAAUCUGUUGGCAUAAUUGAUUCUGCAAAACAGUAUCCUGAAUUUAGUAUCGAGGGAGGCAGAAACACAGCGAGAGAGAGAGAGAGAGAGAGAUGAUGCUUAACAAACAGACUGCAGACUGCUUUAUUGUAGUAAUAUGCCCAAAGUCCACACUAGAAGAGUUACAACCAGACCCUCUUAUUAUACCAUGUUUGUUACAAUGAGGGAAUUGAACAUCAUGAAUCGUCAUUCAAGCAAGGAAAUCAAAGGUUGACAGCUUAUUCUUUUUCUAUAUUUCCCCACUAGAAUCGUGCUUGAAGGUAUUCAACCACCCUCUUGUCCAACUGGAAGGCCCUUGCCAGGAAAUCAGGAUUGAUGGGUGGAUUUGAUCCAAACAUUGAACUGGCUAUGGUGAUUACACCUGGAUUUUGGCUGUUAAAAACGGCAAUGGCUACUGCAUUAGUGUGCCCAAUGUUGACUUGGAAGUGAAUGAGACUGAAAGGGAACACAAAAACAUCCCCCUUGUUCAGGACUUUGCUAAUGAAGCGGUGUUCAGGGUUGGAUGUGAUAAAGCCAACAAAGAGUUUUCCCUCCAAGACAAUGAAGAUCUCACUGGCACGAGGGUGAAAGUGAGGAGGGUUUUGACCAUUAGGUUCAUAAUCGAUACGAGACAGUGACACCCCAAGAGUGUUUUCUCCUGGUAAUUGAUCAACAUUUAUAAGAUUGACAAUUGAGCCCACAUAAUUUGAUGUGUUUCCUGGAAUAUUCAGCCCUUGAUACAAGAAAUCCUCGGCCACGGUCAGGUUUGGGUUCUUGCAGAACUUCCCAUUUACAAAUACUGCAUGAAGAAGGAAAAAAGAAAAGAUGUAUCCUUAGUAUCAAACCAUACUCACCAUAUCAAUAAAAAGAGUAGUACUGAAAAUAGCUAUAACAUCAUUGGUUACAAUAGAAAUACCAGCAUUCUUGGGCUCAUCAACUGCAACACAGGUGUCUUCCAGUGGGCUUGGAUCAUAGGCAGAGGCAAGAAACGAAGCCAAUGCCAUGAGGGCCACAGUUACCAUGAAACUAACGCCUUUCUUUAUUGUUAGAGUACUGUCUCCAACAAUCCCAAUCUUUAUCUUUCGGCGGGGAUAAUAAAUUUAGCCUGGAAAAGAUGUUAAUUUAUAGACCAGAGUCGGUGAGUUAGUCUUUGCAUAAACUCACCAAGUCUUCAAUGGGAAGUUUUUUCUUCUUUCUUUUUUCACUUUCGAGGACAAGCGGUUGCACCAAUACGUGUUGAUUUACGUAGGAUUAGUCAGUGUAUAGAUCUUAACCAGAAUAUAAAGCAAUGUACAAUCAGGUGGAGGCAGGUCCAAUUUAAUAUCAAUCUGCAUGAUCCAUACGUUUACAUUUAUAGUAGAGCUUUCUGCUCUUUUAGUAGUGUAUAGACAAGCAAAUAGAAGAUUACAGAGUAGGUGCCAGCUUGGAGUAUACAAUGACCCGCCCAUAUCAAACAUGGUUACUCCAUGAGGCUUGUGUAGGUUCAGUUUAAUGAGUAUCUAUAUAGCUUAAUUCACCAUUCAAAGUGUUGAGAGAUUGGCUGAUGAGAUUAAAUAUGUAGCCAAGUUCUGAGUUUCUAGCUCAUGUGCCUUCCACUGAGUGAAAAGUCCUUGGAUAAGCUCUGGCUUUCUGCUAUACGCUCAUUAGGCUUUCCUCAGUUACAAAAGCUUUGACUAUGAUUUUUACGCUUGUAGCCUUCGCUGUCUGAGCGGUUUCUAAGACUUUUUAAUUAGUUGCUUCUAAGUUGUCUUUAACAAGCAAGUCCGUAUUUUCUGGCGAGAAGCAAGAAAAUACCAAUUGAUUAGAUGAAGUCCUUCGACUAAUCUAUGCCCUAUACGUAAGGUAAUUAAGCAGUUACACUUUCCAAAUCUUCAAUGGAUGUCAUUUUUCGAAUUGAAAGGUUGAACUUCCUCAAGUUAUGCUCUAGACUCUAGAAUGAAUUCUACAUAAUCUUCGGUUUUAGGCCUUAUUCCUAGUUUAAAGCUAAGAAGUAAACCAGUGGACAGACCAUCUGUAAUCAGAUUGUGAUUAGUGUCAUGACCCAUUAGAUCUUUAUAAGAAGUUGGCCAUGGUUCAAAGUCACGGUAUCCGUCACCAAAUCGGUAAGUCCCGAGGUACAUCAGUUUCAACGUCACGGAUCGAUAUCGGAUGAUACGCAAAAAUUUAUAGUUUAAAAGCUCAAAACAAUUUAAAAAGAUUACAAAAAUAAAUACAAAUAAAUAAAGUUAAAAAUUAAGAAAUAAAAUUUUAUUAUGUAUAAAAUUAUUCAAAUUAUGAUAAAACAUACCUUUGUAAUGAUUUAUAAAAAUAUUAAAACUAUAAAAAAAAUAAUUUAAUCACUUAAUAUUAAAUAUGCAUCAUUAAAGAUGAAAAUAAUAAAAAGUGAAUUUAUAGUUUAUAAUUUUUUUAAAAUUAAAUAUUUUGAAUUUUUUAAAAAUAUUUUCAAUAUUUAAAAAAAUACAUCUAGGAAUCAUCUUUGAAAAAAAUAAACAUCAUUUUUCUUAUCAAAUGUAUUCUAAAUAAAACAAUUAUAAAAAUAAAGAAUUUUUAUUUGAAUGAGCAUAUUUGAAUAUAAUAUAUUUUUUCUAUACAUCUAUUCAUUUGAAUUGAAUUUUUAUAUUAAUAUUCAUUUCCUUUUUUAUUCAUGUAAACCUAAAUAUUCAUUAUUAAUGUACCAUAAUCCUAAUUCCCAUCAAAUUUGCAUUAUCCAUUUAAAUACAAUUAUUCACAACAUAUUCAUUAACUACUUAAAAAACAAAUACCCACCCAAAUUUGUAAUCCUAUCAAAUACCCAUAACCCAUUGGCAAACACGUAUUUCCUUUUUUUGGCACAAUACCCAUUUUCUCUCUAAAACAACACUUUGAGCUCUCUAUUUCUUUGCACAAUACCUAUAUUUGAAGGCUAAAAAAAUAGGCCUACAAAGAUACAAAAGGAUGGAGCUAGAAAUACAAGGAUGAAGAUGCACAAGGUUUGAAGACUCUAUACUCUCCACACUUCUUCACUUUCAUAUGUUUCCAUCAUCUUCUUUCAUCCACUAUUUUCGCUCCUAUAUUACCAUUUUUUCCCAUCACCCAUCACCCGAAGAGCUUAGUUUGAAUAUAAUCUUGGGGUUAUCUCAAAGUUUCUUUGUGAUUCAACAAGUUUUUUCAUGAGUCAACCAAAUAUUAGACUCAGGUAUCGGUUCAGUACUAGUCAUGGACAAGAUUUUAACCCUGUUUGAGCUCUCUAUUUCUUUGUACAAUACCAAUUUUUAAAGGCUCACAAAAUAACCCUAUGAAAAUACAAGAGGAUAGAGAUGCAAAUACAGGGAUGAAGAUGCAAAAGGUUUGAAGACUUUGAACUCUCCAUAUUCUUCGGUUUCAUGGGUUUCAAUCUUCUUCUCUCAUCAACUAUUUCUGCUCCAAUAUUACCAUUUUUUUCCAUCACCCAUGACCUGAAGAGCUUAGCUUGGACAUAAUCUUAGGGAUAUCUCAAAGUUUCUUUGUGAUUUAACAAGUUUAUUCAUGAUUCAACCAAAUAUUGGACUCGGAUAUCGGUCCGAUACCGAUCAUGGCUGAGGCAUAUAUGAAUCGGUUGAGUCGUACCGGUCUCGACCGAGAUUUUGAACCUUGUUUGAGCUUUCUAUUUCUUUGCACAAUACUAAUUUUUGAAGCCUUAUAAAAUAGCCCUACGAAGAUAUAAGAGGAUGAAGAUGCAAAUACAAGGAUGAAUAUGCAAAGGGUUUGAAGACUUUGAACUCUCCAUACUUCUUCACUACCAUAGGUUUCAAUCUUCUUCUCUCAUCCACCAUUUCCAUUCCAAUAUUACCAUUUUUUUUUCCAUCACCCAUCACUCAAAGAGCUUAGUUUGGACAUAAUCUUGGGGUUAUCUCAAAGUUUCUUUAUGAUUCAACAAGUUUAGUCAUGAGUCAACUAAAUAUUGGACUUGGGUAUCAGUCUGAUACUAGUCAUGACCAAGAUUUUGAACCCUUUUUGAGCUCUCUAUUUCUCUACAUAAUACCCAUUUUUGAAUGCUCACAAAAUAACCCUACAAAGAUACAAGAUGAUAGAGAUGCAAAUACAAGGAUGAAGAUGCAAAGGGUUUGAAGACUCUAAACUCUCCAUACUUCUUCACUUUCAUAGGUUUCGAUCUUCUUCUCUCAUCCGCCAUUUCAACUCCAAUAUUACCAUUUUUUUCCAUGACCUAUCACUCGAAGAGCUUAUUUUGGACAUAAUCUUGGGGUUAUCUCAAAGUUUCUUUUUUAUUCAACAAGUUUAUUCAUGAGUCAACCAAAUAUUGGACUUGAGUAUUAGUUCGGUACUGGUCAUGGCCGAGGUGGAUAUGACUUGGCCAAGUCAUACUGGUCUCAAUCGAGAUUUUGAACCCUAUUUGAACUCUCUAUUUCUUUGCACAGUACCCAUUUUUUAAGGCUAACAAAUUAGCCCUACGAAGAUAUAAGAGGAUUGAGAUGCAAAUAAAGAAAUGAAGAUGCAAAGGGUUUGAAGACUCUAAACUCUUCAUACUUUUUCACUUUCAUGGGUUUCAAUCGUCUUAUCUCAUCCACCAUUUUCGCUCCAAUAUUACAAUUUUUUUCCAUCACCCAUCACCCAAAAAGCUUAGUUUGAACAUAAUCUUGGAGUUAUCUCAAAGUUUAUUUUUUAUUCAACAAGUUUAUUCAUGAGUAAACCAAAUAUUGGACUCAAGUAUCAAUUCAAUAUCAAUCAUGGUUGAGGCGGAUAUGACUCGAACAAGUUGUACUUGUCUCAACCGAGAUUAUGAACCCUAUUUGAGCUCUCUAUUUAUCUCUACAAUACCCAUUUUUGAAGGCUUACAAAAUAGUCCUACGAAGAUACAAGAUGAUGGAGAUGCAAAUACAAGGAUGAAAAUCCAAAGAGUUUGAAGACUCUGAACUCUCCAUAUUUUUUCACUUUCAUGAGUUUUGAUUUUCUUCUCUUAUCUGCCAUUUCCGCUCCAAUAUUACCAUUUUUUCCAUUACCCAUCACUUGAAGAGCUUAGUUUGGACAUAAUAUUAAGGUUAUCUCAAAUUUUCUUUGUGAUUCAACAAGUUUAUUCAUAAGUCAGCCAAAUAUUGGACUUGGGUAUCUGUUCGAUACUAGUCAUAUAUGGUAGAGGCGGAUAUGACUCAACCAAGUUGUACUAGUCUCAACUAAGAUUUUGAACCCUAUUUGAGCUCUCUAUUUCUCUGUACAAUACCCAUUUUAAAGGCUCACAAAAUAGCCCUACCAAGAUACAAGAUAAUGAAGAUGCAAAUAUUACUCAUUGAAUAUCUAGCAAUAAUUGGUUUAUUUUUUAUUUUUGAAUUAUUUUUUAAAAUUAAAUAUCUAUUAAUGAAACAAAAAUACUAAUGAUUAAUACCAAAAAGUGCUAUUUUGUAGAUCUAAUUAUAAUGGUUUUAAGCACCUUUGAGUAGUAAUCAUAUUCAUUUAACCCAAUUAAUUCAUUAAGGUCCUUAGUAAUUGGUUUUAACCAUUUUGUGGCAAGUUUACAUGUUUUUAUCAGCUUAUGAAUCAAUUCAAGCAUGCCAAAUGAUGGAGGAGCUACUUAGACAAGUUAAAGCAAGGAUUUUGGAAGUUUACAGGCUUGAAUUUCAAGUGGAAACACGAGCACAAGCAAUGGAGAAGAGGAAAACAGAGUGAAGAAAACAGAGGACAGCAGCUGCAGUCUUCUUUUGCACUUUUGGAGCACUUCCCGAAGUCCAUUUUCUACAUUCUAUAUACCAUUUCAAAGCUCAGGAAGUCAAUAAUCCAAUGCUUCAAACGGUGCGUGAUUCGGAGUUGAAACGAAGGAGUUACAGCCAUUGCAAUCAGAUCACUCCAAGCUGCUGCGAAAUCAGCCUUUUGUUGCGAGAAUUUCGCAGCCUUUUUGUACAGUGCAAUGGAAUUCCUCCUGAAGCUACCCGAUAUAUGCUGCAAGCUGGAAUGCUGAGAACCUCAAGGUGGAAGCCAACUUCGCAGCCCUGCGAAGAUAGCUUGGUGUUGCGAAAUUAUUUCGCAACCCUCUUGAGUGUCUGCGAAAUCUCGCAGACCUCGUUUUCACCUGCGAAAUGUCCUUAGUGCUUCCUGAUAUUUGUGCACCGACUCUUUUGGAUAUUUUUCUUCAGAUAUUUUUGUAUAAAUUUCCAUUUUCUCCUUGUUUUCAGCCACUCAUGUAAUUCCUUAGCUAGGAAGUNNNNNNNNNNNNNNNNNNNNNNNNNNNNNNNNNNNNNNNNNNNNNNNNNNNNNNNNNNNNNNNNNNNNNNNNNNNNNNNNNNNNNNNNNNNNNNNNNNNNGAGAGAGAUUUAGUGUUUGAACCCAUUAAUGGGAAGCAUCUGUACAACACCGGUUGGAGAAGGAACUAUAGGUUAAUUCUCUAAGGCGAGGAAAAAAAACAAGUGACCGGAACUCCCUUUUUGUAUGAGGAACCUGAGCCUAGUGAUCUGAACUCCAAGAAACACUUUUCUUUGUAAGUAAAAUCAGUUACUAUUUUUGGUUAGCUUAAAACCAAACCUUUUUCAUUCAAACAUCUUUAUGUUUUCUUAAGCUAACCUUGAAAUGAAAAGGCACCAAUUCAGCUUUGAAUUAAUAUCAUUUGUGAAGUGAAAACCCAUCCCAGUGGACGAUCCUAGAGCCACUAUGCUAUAGUAGCUUUGUCUUUGCUACCCUAGUAUAUGGUGUAAUAGGUUAUAAAUUUUGUUGAUUACUCCCUCAAUCAAGGAGCACCAGCUGGACACGAAUCAGCUGAGACACCAAUUGGGCACGAAUCAACUAACUCUUUCUUGAUUUUCUUCUCUCAUCCACCAUAUCCGCUCCAAUAUUGCCAUUUUUUCCAUCACCCAUCACCCUAAGAGCUUAGUUUGGAUAUAAUCUUAGGGUUAUCUCAAAGUUUCUUUUUUAUUCAACAAGUUUAUUCAUGAGUUAACCAAAUAUUGGACUCGGGUAUUAGUUCGGUACCGGUCAUGGCCAAGGUGAAUAUGACUUGGCCGAGUCAUACCAGUCUCAAUUGAGAUUUUGAACCUUGUUUGAACUCUCUAUUUCUUUGCACAAUACCCAUUUUUUAAGGCUAACAAAAUACCCUAACAAAGAUACAAGAGGAUUGAGAUGCAAAUAUAGGAAUGAAGAUGAAAAGGGUUUGAAGAGUCUAAACUCUUCAUACUUUUCCACUUUCAUGGGUUUCAAUCUUCUUCUCUCAUCCACCAUUUUUGCUCUGGUAUUACUAUUUUUUUUCCAUCACCCAUCAUCCAAAAAGCUUAGUUUGGACAUAAUCUUGGAGUUAUCUCAAAGUUUCUUUUUUUAUUCAACAAAUUUAUUCAUGAGUCAACCAAAUAUUGGACUAGAGUAUCGAUCCGAUACUGAUAAUGGCUGAGGCGGAUAUGACACGAUCAAGUCGUACGAGUCUUAACCGAGAUUAUGAACCCUGUUUGAGUUCUCUAUUUCUAUACACAAUACCCAUAUUUGAAGGCUCACAAAAUAGUCCUACGAAGAUACAAGAUGAUGGAGAUGCAAACACAUGGAUGAAAAUCCAAAGCGUUUGAAGGCUCUGAACUCUCCAUAUUUCUUCGCUUUCAUGGGUUUCGAUCUUUUUCUCUCAUCCACCAUUUUCGCUCCAAUAUUACCAUUUUUUCCAUUACCCAUCACGCAAAGAGCUUAGUUUGGACAUAAUAUUAUGGUUAUCUCAAAUUUUCUUCAUGAUNNNNNNNNNNNNNNNNNNNNNNNNNNNNNNNNNNNNNNNNNNNNNNNNNNNNNNNNNNNNNNNNNNNNNNNNNNNNNNNNNNNNNNNNNNNNNNNNNNNNAAGAGCUUAGUUUGGACAUAAUAUUAUGGUUAUCUCAAAUUUUCUUCAUGAUUCAACAAAUUUAUUCACAAGUCAACCAAAUAUUGGACUUGGGUAUCAGUCCGAUACUAGUCAUGGUGGAGGCAGAUAUGACUCGGUUGAGUCGUACCAAUCUCGACUAAGAUUGUGAACCCUGUUUGAACUCUCUAUUUCUUUGUACAAUAUCCAUUUUGAAGGCUCACAAAAUAGCCCUACCAAGAUACAAGACGAUGGGGAUGCAAAUAUUACUCCUUGAAUUACUGGCAAUAAUUAGUUUAUUUUUUUAAUUUUGAACUAUUUUUUAAAAUUAAAUAUUUGUUAAUGAAACAAAAGCACUAACUCUUUCUUGAUUUGGAGUUUAUUUGUUGAAUGAAAAUUUUUGGAUAAUUAUGGUUUUGCGCAUAAGAGAAAUAAUGAACCAAUUGUUGUUCAUAAAUUCAUAAAAUUGGAUUAGCAUUUGAGUUUCAAAUUAUUUUUAAAAGUGCUUACAUUCAUUAAUGAAUCUAAUACACUAAGUUCCUCUUUGGGAUGAAUUUUGAAUGAGGCUAAAAGCUUUUCCUAACACUAGAAAGCAAUCUUAAAAAAAUGGUUGAAAAUCACUUUUAAAAAUCUAAAUAAUGACAUGAUUCUUCGAACUAUCACAUUUUUGUUAUAUUAUACAUUGCCAAAACAUUCUCUGAACAUAUUUUAAAAAAAAUUUAUAAUAUGCAUUUCCUACAAAGCAAUCUUAAAAAUAUAUAUAUAUAUAUAUCAUCAAUAAUUAGAUUAUGGUGUGAUAGUGAUUUUAGCAAUUGUUUUUAGCCUUUUUAAUACUUUAAAAAUAACAGCAGUGAAUUUAGGAAACGUUUCUAGCUUUUUUAACGCUUGAAUGAUAUAAAUUUUCAAGUAUUAGAAAAGUUAAAAAUGUUUCCUAAAAUCACUACUAAACAGGCUUUAAUCAGUAGUAGUAAUUAAUUGGUAUUGAAUAACUGUAAUGCAGUUUCCUGAAUGUAGUAUUGAGGGAGAGAGAAACAGAGAGGAAGAGAGAGAUGCUUAACAAACAAAUUGCUUUAUUGUAGUAAUAUGCCCAAAGUUCACACCAGAAGAGUUACAACUAGACCCUCUUAUCAUACUAGGAUUGUUAUAACGAGGGAAUUGAACAUCAUAAAUAGUCAUUCAAGCAAGGAAAUGAAAGGUUGAUAGCUUCUUCUUUUUCUAUAUUCCCCCACUAGAAUCGUGCUUGAAGGUAUUCAACCACCUUCUUGUCCAACUGGAAGGCCCUUGCAAGGAAAUCAGGAUUGAUGGGUGGAUUUGAUCCAAACACUGCAUUGGCUAUGGUGAUUACACCUGGAUUUUGGCUGUUCAGACCAGCAAUGGCUACUGCAUUAGUGUGCCCAAUGUUGAAUUGGAAGUGAAUGAGACCGAUAGGGAACACAAAAACAUCCCCUUUGUUGAGGACUUUGCUAAUGAAUCGGUUUUGAGGGUUGGAUGUGACAAAGCCAACUAAGAGUGUUCCCUCCAAAACAGUGAGGAUCUCACUGGCACGGGGGUGAAUGUGAGGAGGGUUUUGACCAUAGGGUGCAUAAUUGAUACGAACCAGUGAUAUCCCAAGAGUGUUUUGUCCCGGUAGUACAUCAACAUUUAUAAUAGUGACAUUUGAGCCCACUAGAUUUGCUGUGUUUCCUGGAAUAUUCAGCCCUUGAUACAAGAAAUCGUCAGCCACGGUCAGGUUUGGGUUCUUGCAGAACUUUCCAUUUACAAAUACUGCAUUUAAAAAAACAAAAGGAAAAUAAAAGAUAGGUCAUUAGUAUCAAACCACCAUCAAUGGAAAGAUUAGUGAAAAUAGUGACAAGAUCAUUGGUUACUAAAGAAAUACCAGCAUUCUCGGGUUCAUCAAUGGCAACACAAGUGUCCUGCAGUGGCCUUGGAUCAAAGGCAGAGGCAAGAGAGGAAGCCAAUGCCAUGAGGGCAACAGUUACCAGGAAACUAACACCUUUCUUCAUUGUUAGAGAACUGUCUCCAACAAUCACAAUCUUUAUCUUUAGGUGGGGGUGAGAAAUUUUGCAUGGGAAAGAUGUUAAUUUAUAGACCAGUCAAUGAGUAAAGUCUUUGCAUAAACUCACAAAGUCUUCAAUGGGUAGUUUUUUCUUUUCUUUUUUUUCUUUCUUUUUUCUUUUUUUCACUUUCAACGUCAAGUGGUUACACCAAUACAUGUUGAUUUAUGUAGGAUUAGUUAGUUACUAUACUGAUCUUAACUAGAAAAUUCUCCAUGCGUGUGGAAAGUGAAGUUCAAUUAUUGAUGGAGGCAGGUCCAAUUUCAUAUCAACCUGCAUGAUCCAUACAUUUACAUAAAUAGUAGAUUGAAUAUUACUACCAUUCAAACACUGAAAAAUAUGUAUAGUGUAUUGACAAGAAAAUAGAAGAUUACAGAGUAAGUGCAGGCUUGGACUAGACAAUAACCCACCCAUUCCAAACAUGGUUACUCUAUGAGGCUUGUGUAGGUUCAGUUUAAUGAGUAUCUAUAUAGCUUAAUUAACCAGUCAAAGUUUUCAGAGAUUGGCUGAUGAGAUUGAAUAUGUAGCCAAGUUCUGAGUUUCUAGCUCAUGUGCCUUCCACUGAGUGAAAAAUCCUUGGAUAAGCUCUAGGGUUGCUUCACUUUAGUGAAAAAUAGGGAUAAAUUCAAAGAUUUUCUGCUAUGCUCAUUAGGCUUUCCUCAGUUACAAAAGCUUUGGCCAUGAUUUUUAUGCUUGCAGCCUGCCCUGUCUGAGCAGUUGGCUCAAAAGUUAUUAUUAUUAUUAUUAUUUUGGUUUGAGAGAGAAAGAGAUCUUAAUAAACACCUUUAAACUAAGACUUUUUAAUUAGUUGUUUAUAAGUUGUCUUUAACAAUCACGUCGGUGUUUCCUGGUGAGAAGCAAGAAACCUUGAUUUGAAAAAUACCAAUAAAUUAGAUGAAGUCCUCAGGUUAACCUAUGUUUUAUAGGUGAGGUAAGCAGUUACACUUUCCAAGUCUUCAAUGGAUGUCAUUUUUCAAAUUUAAAGGUUGAACCAUUCUUCGAUCACACUCCUUUCUCAUCCUUUUCUCCUCAACUUAUGCUCUAGACUCUUGAAUGGAUUCUACAUAAUCUUCGGGUUUUAGGCCUUAUUCCAGUGUAAAGCUAAGAAGUAAACCAGUGGGCAGGCCAUCUAUAAUCAGUUUGUGAUUAGUGUCAUGACCUAGAUCUUUAUAAGAAGUUGGGGUCAGAGGUUUGUUUACAGUGGAUGUCAUAAGAUUUAUGGGCUUUCAUUUCUAUUCUUUCCUCACUAUUUCAUAACACUUAUGCUUCUCCCACCAUUCAUAUGGUUUUACUUGGACAUCUUAAUGAGUUUUUUCGAUCUCAGUUGAUGGGAGUUAUAAUGGGAUAAUUUAGAGAAGCAAAUUAAUGGCAUCUUUCCAUUUCUGAAUUGUAUGGGGUUGUUGCCUCAAUGUUCAUGUCUUCAUCACCAAUUCUGUCAGCAGUAUGCUAGAAGUAACAGUAGUUCUGUUUUAUGCAUAUCCUGUAUUUAAUCAAUCAAUCAACUGAGAUUUGUUAUUCAGUUGCUUCUUUUACAAGUGAAAUCUCAAAGAUUUGUUUAAGAUUUUUUAAUGAAAACAUAGGGUAAUCCUGGAUAUGGCAUUGGAUAGUGAGAGAAGAAGAUGGCUAAUAGACAAACUGCUUUAUUUUAAUAUUAGGACCAAAGUCCACAUCAAACAACCUACAACAUAAAGAAAUAAACCCUCUUAUUCUAGGAUGACUAUAAUGAGGUAAUUGAACACCACAAAUAGUCAUUUAAGCAAGGAAAGCAAAGGCUGGUAGCUUCUUAAUUUUCUAUAUUUUCCAACUAGAAUAGUGCUUGAAGGUAUUCAACCACCUUCUUGUCCAACUGGAAGGCCCUGGCAAGGAAAUCAGGAUUGAUGGGUGGAUUUGAUCCAAACACUGCAUCGGCUAUGGUGAUUACACCUGGAUUUUGGCUGUUCAGACCAGCAAUGGCUACUGCAUUAGUGUGCCCAAUGUUGAAUUGGAAGUGAAUGAGACCUAUAGGGAACACAAAAACAUCUCCCUUGUUGAGGACUUUGCUAAAGAGGCGGUUUUGAGGGUUGGAUGUGACAAAGCCAACUAAGAGUGUUCCCUCCAAGACAGUGAGGAUCUCAGUGGCACGAGGGUGAGUGAUCAUGUGAGGAGGGUUUUGACCAUAGGGUGCAUAAUCUAUACGAACCAGUGAUAUCCCAAGAGUGUUAAGUCCUGGUAUUGCAUCAACAUUUACUGUAGUGACAUUUGAGCCCACUCGAUUUGCUGUGUUUCCUGGAAUAUUCAGCCCUUGAAAGAAGAAAUCCUCGGCCACAGUCAGGUUUGCGUUCUUGCAGAACUUUCCAUUUACAAAUACUGCAUUUAAAAAGAAGGGGAAAAGAAAAGAUAGGUCGUUAGUAUCAAACCAUUAUCAAUGGAAAGAGUAGUGAAAAUGGCAAUAAGAUCAUUGGUCACUAUACAUAUAUAGAAAUAUCAGCAUUCUUGGGUUCAGGAAUGGCAACACAAGUGUCCUGAAGUGGGCUUGGAUCAAAGGCAGCGACAAGAGAGGAAGCCAAUGCCAUGAGGGCAACAGCAACCAGGAAGCUGACACCUUUCUUCAUUGUCAGAGUACUGUCUCCAACAAUCAGAGUCUUUAUCUUUAGGUGGGGGUGAUAAAUUUUGCAUGGGAAAGAUGUUAAUUUAUAGACCAGAAUCGGUGAGUUAGUCUUUGCAUAAACUCACAAAGUCUUUAAUGGGUAGUUUUUUUUUUUCAUUUUCAAGGACAAUUAGUUACACCAAUACAUUUUAAUUUAUGUAGGAUUAGUUAGUAUACUGAUCUUAACUAGAAUAUUCUCCAUGAGUGUGUGGAUAGUGGAGUUCAAUUAUAGGUGGAGGCAGGUCAAAUUUCAUAUCAAUCUACAUGAUCCAUGCAAUAACAUAAAUAGUAGAGCUUUCUGCUCUUUUAGUUUUAGUACCCAAACACUGAAAAAUCUCUAAAGUAGUGUAUAGACAAGCAAAUAGAAGAUUACAGAGUAGGCCAUCGGACUAGACAAUAAUCCACCCAUUUCAAACAUGGUUACUCCAUGAGGCUUGUGUAGGUUCAGUUUAAUGAGUAUCUAUAUAGCUUAAUUCACCAUUGAAAGUGUCCAGAGAUUGGCUGAUGAGAUUGAAUAUGUAGCCAAGUUCUGAGUUUCUAGCUCAUGUGCCUUCCACUGAGUGAAAAAUCCUUGGAUAAGCUCUGGGGUUGCUUCAGUUUAAUGAAAUAUUGGGAUAAAUUCAAAGAUUUUCUGCUAUGCUCGUUGGGCUUUCCUCAGUUAAAAAAGCUUUGACUACUUGCAGCCUGCCCUAUCUGAGCAAUUGGCUCAAAAGUUAUUAUUAUUAUUAUCAUGUUUUUUGAUAGUGACUUUAUUUAUGUAUUAUGAGAGGGAAAGAGAUGCUUAACAAACACCUUUGAACUAAGACUUUCUAAAUUAUUUGUUUACAAGUUUUCUUUAACAAUCAAAUCUGUGUUUUUUGGUAAGAAGCAAGAAACCUUGCAUUGGAAAAAUACCAAUUAUUUAGAUAAAGUUCUCAGAUUAGUCUAUGUUUUAUACAUAAGGUAAGCAGAUACACUUUCCAAGCUUUCCAAGUCUUCAAUGGAUGGCCUUUUUUUAAUUUAAAGGUCGAACCCUUAUUCAACAACUACACCCCUUUCCCAUCCUCAACUCAAAGUGGACUCUGCAUAAUCUUUGGGUUUUAGGACUUAUUCGAGGGUAAAUCUAAAGGAGUAACCCUGUGGACAGACCAUCUAUGAUCAGUUUGUGAUUAGUGUCAGACCCAUUAGAUCUUUAUAAGUUGAGGUGAGAAGUUUGCUGCAUGAAUUCGAAUCUACUUUCUUUCCACUUCUUAUCAUCAUGGAGUACAUGACGAAAACUUCAGAUAAAAAUGAAAACUCAAAUUAAACUGUUUUCUUUUCCAUUCUUUCUUCACUAUGUUCAUGACACUUGUGCUUCUCCUACCAUUCAAAUGGUUUAUCUGGACAUCUUAAUUAGUUUCUUCGAUCUUAGUUGAUGGGUUAUAGUGGGAUAAUUUAGAGAAGCAAAAUGGCACCUUUCCAUUUCUGAAUUGUAUGCAGUUGUUGCCUCAAUGUUCAUUUAUUCAUCACCAAUUCCGCCAGCAGUAUGCUGGAAGUAACAGUAGAACUAUUUUACAAUCAGUCAAGUAUUGCUUCUUCAUCAAAAUUCUGCAUAUACUGUAUAUAAUCAAUCAAGCAACUGAGAUUUGUGAUCCAGUUGUUUUUCCACAAGUGAAAUAUCAAAGAUUUGGAUAAGAUUUUUUAAGACAAAUAUUGAGAUGGAGACAGGAGUAGAAGAUGCCUAACAGACAAACUGCUUUAUUUUAAUAUUAGGACCAGAGUCCACACCAAAAGAGCUACAAAAGAAAGUAAUAAACCCUCUUAUUCUAGGAUGAUUGUAAUGAGGUAAUUAAACAUCACAAAUAGUCAUUCAAGCUUGCAAAUCAAAGGUUCCUAGCUUCUUCAUUUUCUCUAUUUCCCCACUAGAAUCGUGCUUGAAGGUAUUUGACCACCUUCUUGUCCAACUGGAAGGCCCUUGCCAGGAAAUCAGGAUUGAUGGGUGGAUUUGAUCCAAAUACUGCAUUGGCUAUGGUGAUUACACCUGGAUUUUGGCUGUUCAGACCAGCAAUGGCUACUGCAUUAAUGUGCCCAAUGUUGAAUUAGAAGUGAAUGAGACCAAUAGGGAACACAAAAACAUCCCCCUUGUUUAGAACUUUGCUAAUGAGGCGGUUUUGAGGGUUGGAUGUGACAAAGCCGACUAAGAGUGUCCCUCCAAGACGGUGAGGAUCUCAGUGGCACGAGGGUGAGUGUGAGGAGGGUUUUGACCGUAGGGUGCAUAAUCGAUACGAACCUGUGAUAUCCCAAGAGUGUUAAGUUCUGGUAUUGCAUCAACAUUUACUGUAGUGACAUUUGAGCCCACUCGAUUUGUUGUGUUUCCUGGGAUAUUCAGCCCUUGAUAGAAGAAAUCCUCGGCCACAGUCAGGUUUGGGUUCUUGCAGAACUUUCCAUUUACAAAUACUGCAUUUAAAAAAAGGGAAAAGAAAAGAUACAUCAUUAGUAUGAAACCACCAUCAAUGGAAAGAUUAAUGAAAAUAGUGACAAGUUCAUUGGUUACUAAAGAAAUACCAGCAUUCUUGGGUUCAUCAAUGGCAACACAAGUGUCCUGCAGUGGGCUUGGAUCAGAGGCAGAGGCAAAAGAUGAAGCCAAUGCCAUGAGGGCCACAGUUACUAGGAAACUAACACCUUUCUCCAUUGUUAGAGUACUGUCUCCAACAAUCACAAAUCUUUGUGUUUAGGUGAGGGGUGAAAAUUUUUGCAUGAGAAACAUGUCAAUUUAUAGAUGGUCUUCAAUGGGUAGGUCCUUUUUUUUUUUUUUUUUUUUUUUUGCUUUCUCACUUACAAGGAUAAGUGUUUUCAUCAAUACGUGUUAAUUUAUGUUGGGUUAGUUAGUAUACUGAUCUUAACUUAAAUAUUUUCAAUGCAUAUGUUGAAAGUGAAGUUCAAUCAGGUGGAGGCAGGUCCAAUUUCAUAUCCAUCUCCAAUAUGAAAAGUUCUCCACAAGAUUUAGUUCCAAAUGGCUAGCUAAUGGAAGAACUACAUAUGGCAAAAUGAAGUGAAAGUAUUCAGGAUUACUUAACCUUUUAAUGCAGCAGAUCAGUCCUUCUGUUUUCUUGGUGACCAAACAUUGAACGAACUCUAAAGUAGUGUAUAUACAGCAAAAAGAAGACCAUUAUUAUUAUCACUAUGGUCUUUGAUAGUGAAUAUAUUUAUGUCUCAUGUACAAAUAUAUUUCCACACUUCUUCACUUUCAUAUGUUUCCAUGCAUCUUCUUUCAUCCACUAUUUUCGCUCCUAUAUUACCAUUUUUUUCCAUCACCCAUCACCCAAAGAGCUUAGUUUGAAUAUAAUCUUGGGGUUAUCUCAAAGUUUCUUUGUGAUUCAACAAGUUUUUUCAUGAGUCAACCAAAUAUUAGACUCAGAUAUCGGUUCAGUACUAGUCAUGGCCAAGAUUUUAACCCUGUUUGAGCUCUCUAUUUCUUUAUACAAUACCCAUUUUUAAAGGCUCGCAAAAUAACCCUAUGAAGAUACAAGAGGAUAGAGAUGCAAAUACAGGGAUGAAAAUGCAAAAGGUUUGAAAACUCUUAACUCUCCAUAUUUCUUCGGUUUCAUGGGUUUCAAUCUUCUUCUCUCAUCAACUAUUUCUGCUCCAAUAUUACCAUUUUUUUUCCAUCACCCAUCACCUGAAGAGCUUAGCUUGGACAUAAUGUUAGGGAUAUCUCAAAGUUUCUUUGUGAUUUAGCAAGUUUAUUCAUGAUUCAACCAAAUAUUGGACUCGGGUAUCGGUUCGAUACCGAUCAUGGCUGAGGCAUAUAUGAAUCGGUUGAGUCGUACUGGUCUCGACCAAGAUUUUGAACCCUGUUUAAGCUUUCUAUUUCUUUGCACAAUACUAAUUUUUGAAGCCUUAUAAAAUAACCCUACGAAGAUACAAGAGGAUGAAGAUGCAAAUACAAGGAUGAAUAUGCAAAGGGUUUGAAGACUUUGAACUCUCCAUACUUCUUCACUACCAUAGGUUUCAAUCUUCUUCACUCAUCCACCAUUUCCAUUCCAAUAUUACCAUUUUUUUUCCAUCACCCAUCACUCGAAGAGCUUAGUUUUGACAUAAUCUUGGGGUUAUGUCAAAGUUUCUUUAUGAUUCAACAAGUUUAUUCAUGAGUCAACUAAAUAUUGGACUUGGGUAUCAGUCUGAUACUAGUCAUGGCCAAGAUUUUGAACCCUUUUUGAGCUCUCUAUUUCUCUACAUAAUACCCAUUUUUGAAGGCUCACAAAAUAACCCUACAAAGAUACAAGAUGAUAGAGAUGCAAAUACAGGGAUGAAGAUGCAAAGGGUUUGAAGACUCUGAACUCUCCAUACUUCUUCACUUUCAUAGGUUUCGAUCUUCUUCUCUCAUUUGCCAUUUCAGCUCCAAUAUUACCAUUUUUUCCAUGACCCAUCACUCGAAGAGCUUAUUUUGGACAUAAUCUUGGGGUUAUCUCAAAGUUUCUUUUUUAUUCAACAAGUUUAUUCAUGAGUCAACCAAAUAUUGGACUCAGGUAUUAGUUCGGUACUGGUCAUGGCCGAGGCGGAUAUGACUUGGCCGAGUCAUACUGGUCUCAAUCGAGAUUUUAAACCCUAUUUGAACUCUCUAUUUCUUUUUCACAGUACCCAUUUGUUAGAAAUUUGAGGCUAAUCCAACCUAUGGUAAUCACCCUAGAGGGGGGGUGAAUGGGGUGAUGGUCUCUUUUCUAACAAUUUAAACAAGUGAAUGCAAGAGACAAUUAUAUGCAAGUAUAUAAUAAUCAAUAUAGAGACAAUUGCAUAUAAAUUAAAGAGUAGGGAAAAGAGAAUGCAAACACAAGAUUUUAUAGUGGUUCGACGCAACCCGGCCUAUAUCCACUCUCCUCUAGCUUCAAUCCUGAGCUUGAGGUUUCACUAAUCCAAGGCUUCCAAACCAAGCCUUCAAGCAAUACAAUUGGAUUAUGGUUCCAAUUCACCCUCUUGGACUUUUGGCUCCAAGCACCCUUUACACUUCUCAAGAGAUAUCCCACUCUUGAACAACCCCUCAAGUGAUACUUCACACUUGAGAAACUUCCUAUCAAAGAUUUACAAAUGAAUGAUCUCUCAAUCUAGCACAAAAACUUUAAGCUCAAAUGAUACAAGAAAAACUAGGAUUGAAUGGUGCACUAAAGAUAUGCAAGUUUUGAAAUAAUGGUGCACUCAAAUAUACUCUUCCAAGGCUCAAAUAUAAUCAAGAAAUAUUUGGGAAGGUUAAUCUCUUGAAACAAUGAAGAUCGAAGCCUUUUUAUAGAAGAAAAAAGCCAAACUAGCCAUUGGGGGUUCGACCGGUCGACCAGUUGACUAGCCAUUAGCAUUUAAUGCAUGGCAAGUGACCGUUGGGCCUUAACCGGACCUCAACUAGUUGAGGUUCAACCUUGACCGUGAAGAGAAGGUCACUGGGAGAAAAAGAAACCUUUUGGCCUCCCUCAACCGGUCGACCGGUUGAGCCAUUUUUUUGGCUCAACACCGAACCAUUUUCAACUUAAAACCUUUUAACACAAGUUUGAAAAUCAUUUAAUACAAGGUUUUAGUUGAAAACAUGAAAUCAUCCAAUUCUUAAGAUAUUUAAAACAAUAUUACUCUUGGAUGAUUUUGGUGCAUAAAUAAAGAAUGAAAUGCAUGAAAGUCCUAGUGCACCAACAACCUUACAAAGAGAUCCUAUGAAGCUUUGGUCUUGAAAAACUCUUCUCUUUGAGGUGGUCUUCUUCUUCAUGAUUUCUUCUUGGUUUGAUUUGUCUUUGUGAUUGCCACUUUGGAAAUCGUCUUGCCUAAUCACACUUGAAAUAUGAUCAUUAGUUCUAAACCUUGUUUUGUUAUCAUAAAAAUCAAGAUUAACCAAACCUUGGUUUCACACCAUUUUUUAAGGCUAACAAAUUAGCCCUACGAAGAUAUAAGAGGAUUAAGAUGCAAAUAAAGGAAUGAAGAUGCAAAGGGUUUGAAGACUCUAAACUCUUCAUACUUUUUCACUUUCAUGGGUUUCAAUCUUCUUAUCUCAUCCACCAUUUUCGCUCCAAUAUUACAAUUUUUUUCCAUCACCCAUCACCCAAAAAGCUUAGUUUGAACAUAAUCUUGGAGUUAUCUCAAAGUUUCUUUUUUAUUCAACAAGUUUAUUCAUGAGUCAACCAAAUAUUGGGCUCAAGUAUCAAUUCAAUAUCGAUCAUGGUUGAGGCGGAUAUGACUCGAUCAAGUUGUACUCGUCUCAACCGAGAUUAUGAAACCUAUUUGAGCUCUCUAUAUAUCUACACAAUACCCAUUUUUGAAGGCUUACAAAAUAGUCCUACGAAGAUACAAAAGGAUGGAGAUGCAAAUACAAGGAUGAAAAUCCAAAGAGUUUGAAGACUCUGAACUCUCCAUAUUUUUUCACUUUCAUGAGUUUUUAUUUUCUUCUCUUAUUUGCCAUUUCCGCUCCAAUAUUACCAUUUUUUUUCCAUUACCCAUCACUCGAAGAGCUUAGUUUGAACAUAAUAUUAAGGUUAUCUCAAAUUUUCUUCGUGAUUCAACAAGUUUAUUCAUAAGUCAACCAAAUAUUGGACUUGGAUAUCUAUUCGAUACUAGUCAUGGUAGAGGCGGAUAUGACUCGACCAAGUCAUACCAGUCUCAACUGAGGUUUUGAACCCUAUUUGAGCUCUCUAUUUCUCUAUACAAUACCCAUUUUGAAGGCUCACAAAAUAGCCCUACCAAGAUACAAGAUAAUGGAGAUGCAAAUAUUACUCGUUGAAUUUCUAGCAAUAAUUGGUUUAUUUUUUAAAUUUUGAACUAUUUUUUAAAAUUAAAUAUCUAUUAAUGAAACAAAAAUACUAACUCUUUCUUGAUUUUCUUCUCUCAUCCACCAUAUCCGCUCCAAUAUUGCCAUUUUUUCCAUCACCCAUCACUCGAAGAGCUUAGUUUGGAUAUAAUCUUAAGGUUAUGUUUCUUUUUUAUUCAACAAGUUUAUUCAUGAGUUAACCAAAUAUUGCAAUGUUUUCAGAACCGGACCGGUGAUCGAACCGGAAAAGUUACCGGUUCACGGUUCACUGGUCGGACCGGCGGUCGAACCGCUAUUGAACCGGUGACAUCAUAAAUAUAUAAUUUAUAUAUUAUUAAAAUUAAAAAUAAUUAUAAAAAUUUUAAAAUAUAUAUGAAUAAAUUAAAAAUCAAUAAUAUUAUCAAAUUAAAUCAUAUUAAUAUUUUUAAUUUUGUUAAAUGAAAUAUGUAAAAUAUUUAAAUAUGAAUAUAUUAAAAAUGAAAAUUUAAACUAAUUUUAUCAUUUUUAAAAAUAUUAUAUUAUUUUUAUUUAACAUUACAAAAUUAAUUUAAAAUCUAAUAUAUAUUAUUUUGUUUAGCAUAUUAACUAACAUAAGCUGUGUAGCCGAGUGGUGCCUUGCAUGCCUUCCAAAUCUGGGGUCCAAGGUUCAAUUCCUCCUGGCUGUGGGGGACUUCUUGUUAUUUUUUUCAUUCAUUUGGUUGGUUAGGAAUCCCACAUCGGAAACAAAGAGAAAUGAGGAAGCCAAGGGUGCCUAUAAAUUCUAUCCACAUUGAAAGCCAACGCAUUCCCUCAUUGGGUGGGCUCAAGACUAAGCCCACAAUAUGGUUGAGUGGGGUUUGGGCUUUGUCAUGAUGAGACAAGCCCAGAAUGGGCAUUUUGCCCAAGACCUUUUUAUGCAAGGGAGCCUUUAAAAUGGAGGUUCAAAUUGAACCGUUCGGUUCGAUUAGAACCGUCCGGUUCGACCGAGUCACCGGUCCGACCGUCGGUUUUGGCGGUUCGUGGCCGGUUUAAAUCUUAAACGGUUCAAUAAGUAGAUCGGACCGGAAUUGUGACCGGUCGACGGUUGAACCGGUUGGACCGGCCGGUCCGGUCCGGUUUUUAAAACAUUGAAAUAUUGGACUCGGGUAUCAGUUAGGUACCGGUCAUGGCCAAGGCAAAUAUGACUUGGUCAAGUCAUACCAGUCUUAACUGAGAUUUUGAACCUUGUUUGAACUCUUUAUUUCUUUGCACAAUACCCAUUUUUUAAGGCUAACAAAAUACCCCAACGAAGAUACAAGAGGAUUGAGAUGCAAAUAUAGGAAUGAAGAUGAAAAGGGUUUGAAGAGUCUAAACUCUUCAUACUUUUCCAUUUUCAUGGGUUUCAAUCUUCUUCUUUCAUCCACCAUUUUCGCUCUGGUAUUACCAUUUUUUUCCAUCACCCAUCAUCCAAAAAGCUUAGUUUGGACAUAAUCUUGGAGUUAUCUCAAAGUUUCUUUUUUAUUCAACAAGUUUAUUCAUGAGUCAACCAAAUAUUGGACUAGGGUAUCGAUUGAUACUAAUCAUGGCUGAAGCGGAUAUGACACGAUCAAGUCAUAUGUGUCUCAACCGAGAUUAUGAACCUUGUUUGAGCUUUCCAUUUCUAUACACAAUACCCAUUUUUGAAGGCUCAAAAAAUAAUCCUACGAAGAUACAAGAUGAUGAAGAUGCAAACACAUGGAUGAAAAUCCAAAGGGUUUGAAGGCUCUGAACUCUCCAUAUUUCUUCACUUUCAUGGGUUUCGAUCUUUUUCUCUCAUCCACCAUUUCCGCUCCAAUAUUACCAUUUUUUUUCCAAUUUUUAUAGUGCAAUGGUUGGCUGUUCACGGACUAGCUGUACCUACCAUUUCUUUUUUGGGGUCAAUAUCAGCAAUGCAGUUCAUCCAACGAUAAACCUAAUCCGAAUUAUAGAGCUACGACACAAUCAAACCCGAAGGAAAGGAUUUGUAUGAUAUCUGAUCUAGGGAAAUAUAUAUAUUAUACUGUGUCAUCCAGAAAAUCGAGUGAUUCCUUAUUACCCAUCACUCGAAGAGCUUAGUUUGGACAUAAUAUUAUGGUUAUCUCAAAUUUUCUUUAUGAUCCAACAAAUUUAUUCACAAGUCAACCAAAUAUUGGACUUAGGUAUCAGUCCGAUACUAGUCAUGGCGGAGGCGGAUAUAACUCGAUUGAGUCGUACCAGUCUCGACUAAGAUUUUGAUCCCUGUUUAAGCUCUUUAUUUCUCUGUACAAUACCCAUUUUGAAGGCUUCCAAAAUAGCCCUACCAAGAUACAAGAUAAUGGGGAUGCAAAUAUUACUCCUUGAAUUACUGGCAAUAAUUGGUUUAUUUUUUUAAUUUUGAACUAUUUUUUAAAAUUAAAUAUUUGUUAAUGAAACAAAAGCACUAACUCCUUCUUGAUUUGGAGUUUAUUUGUUGAAUGAAAUUUUUUGGAUAAUUUUGGUUUUGCGCAUAAGAGAAAUAAUGAACCAAUUGUUGUUCAUAAAUUCAUAAAAUUGGAUUAGCAUUUGAGUUUCAAAUUAUUUUUAAAAGUGCUUACAUUCAUUAAUGAAUCUAAUACACUAAGUUCCUCUUUGGGAUGAAUUUUGAACGAGGCUAAAAGCGUUUCCUAACACUAGAAAGCAAUCUUAAAAAAAUGGUUGAAAAUCACUUUUAAAAAUCUAAAUGAUGACAUGAUUCUUCAAACUAUCACAUUUUUGUUAUAUUAUACAUUACCAAAACAUUCUCUGAACAUAUUUUUUUUUAAAUUUAUAAUAUGCAUUUCCUACAAAACAAUCUUAAAAAAAUAUGUAUAUCAUCGAUAAUUAAAUUACGGUUUGACAGUGAUUUUAGCAAUUGUUUUUAGUUUUUUUAAUACUUUAAAAAUAACAGCAGUGAAUUUAGGAAACGUUUCUAGCUUUUUUAACACUUGAAUGAUAUAAAUUUUCAAGUAUUAGAAAAGUUAAAAAUGUUUCCUAAAAUCACUACUAAACAGGCUUUAAUCAGUAGUAGUAAUUAAUUGGUAUUGAAUAACUGUAAUGCAGUUUCCUAAAUGUAGUAUUGAGACAGAAACAGAGAGGAAGAGAGAGAUGCUUAACAAACAAAUUGCUUUAUUGUAGUAAUAUGCCCAAAGUCCACACCAGAAGAGUUACAACUAGACCCUCUUAUCAUACUAGGAUUGUUAUAACGAGGGAAUUGAACAUCAUAAAUAGUCAUUCAAGCAAGGAAAUGAAAGGUUGAUAGCUUCUUCUUUUUCUAUAUUCCCCCACUAGAAUCGUGCUUGAAGGUAUUCAACCACCUUCUUGUCCAACUAGAAGGCCCUUGCCAGGAAAUCAGGAUUGAUGGGUGGAUUUGAUCCAAACACUGCAUUGGCUAUGGUGAUUACACCUGGAUUUUGGCUGUUCAGACCAGCAAUGGCUACUGCAUUAGUGUGCCCAAUGUUGAAUUGGAAGUGAAUGAGACCGAUAGGGAACACAAAAACAUCCCCUUUGUUGAGGACUUUGCUAAUGAAGCGGUUUUGAGGGUUGGAUGUGACAAAGCCAACUAAGAGUGUUCCCUCCAAAACAGUGAGGAUCUCACUGGCACGGGGGUGAAUGUGAGAAGGGUUUUGACCAUAGGGUGCAUAAUCGAUACGAACCAGUGAUAUCCCAAGAGUGUUUUGUCCCGGUAGUACAUCAACAUUUAUAAUAGUGACAUUUGAGCCCACUAGAUUUGUUGUGUUUCCUGGAAUAUUCAGCCCUUGAUACAAGAAAUCGUCGGCCACGGUCAGGUUUGGGUUCUUGCAGAACUUUCCAUUUACAAAUACUGCAUUUAAAAAAACAAAAGGAAAAUAAAAGAUAGGUCAUUAGUAUCAAACCACCAUCAAUGGAAAGAUUAGUGAAAAUAGUGACAAGAUCAUUGGUUACUAAAGAAAUACCAGCAUUCUCGGGUUCAUCAAUGGCAACACAAGUGUCUUGCAGUGGCCUUGGAUCAAAGGCAGAGGCAAGAGAGGAAGCCAAUGCCAUGAGGGCAACAGUUACCAGGGAACUAACACCUUUCUUCAUUGUUAGAGAACUAUCUCCAACAAUCACAAUCUUUAUCUUUAGGUGGGGGUGAGAAAUUUUGCAUGGGAAAGAUGUUAAUUUAUAGACCAGUCAAUGAGUUAAGUCUUUGCAUAAACUCAUAAAGUCUUCAAUGGUGUUGAGGCCUAGCGUCCCAACGAUCCACGCAGUUGCCAAGUGGACGCACGCUUUCAACCAAGAUUAAGUUCUGGUUCAGUUGUCCUUGCAAAAGAUGUCCGGACAGGGUGUCCGGACACACCCUCCGAUGGUUUUGUCAGCCAUGACCCGAGAGAUUAAGCAGUUGGCCUUUUUCUAGGUAUAGCAAGCUUACCUUCCUCCUUGUGUGAAGGUCCUUAUAUAUAGUGUCAGAGGCUCUGCCUCCCUCUUUAAUGAUGGGAAGAUUUUUUGGCUCGUCAUGAGGCCUCUAGGUGGUGGCAGGGUCAUCAUCAUCCUACGAGCGGCUGUUAGAGAUCGUGGGAGGUGACUUGCCAUCAUUCCUAUCCUUUCGCUCUGCAGGCGGCGGAACGUGGACUGUGGCAGGCUAUCGGAAUGACGUAGCAAGGCAUGCUCACUUUAAUCAAUGAUCCGGACAACAUAUCCGGAUAGGAUAUGCUGUCGUCCGGAUGUGAUGUUCGCGAGUGCCGUGUGCCUUUCCCUGAGGGAGUCCGGAUAGGGGAGCGCGCCACGUGUCCUCUUGGGGGGAAUCUGGAUGGAGUUGCUUCAGAUAGAGAUAUGUGCCACGUGUCAUCAGGGGGAGGGGUCCCUACAAUGGGUAGUUUUUUCUUUUCUUUUCUUUUUUUCACUUUCAACUUCAAGUGGUUACACCAAUACAUGUUGAUUUAUGUAGGAUUAGUUAGUUACUAUACUGAUCUUAACUAGAAAAUUCUCCAUGCGUGUGGAAAGUGAAGUUCAAUUAUUGGUGGAGGCAGGUCCAAUUUCAUAUCAAUCUGCAUGAUCCAUACAUUUACAUAAAUAGUAGAUUGAAUAUUACUACUAUUCAAACACUGAAAAAUAUGUAUAGAGUAUUGACAAGAAAAUAGAAGAUUACAGAGUCGGUGCAGGCUUGGACUAGACAAUAACCCACCCAUUCCAAACAUGGUUACUCUAUGAGGCUUGUGUAGGUUCAGUUUAAUGAGUAUCUAUAUAGCUUAAUUAACCAGUCAAAGUUUUCAGAGAUUGGCUGAUGAGAUUGAAUAUGUAGCCAAGUUCUGAGUUUCUAGCUCAUGUGCCUUCCACUGAGUGAAAAUCCUUGGAUAAUCUCUGGGGUUGCUAAAGUUUAAUGAAAAAUAGGGAUAAAUUCAAAGAUUUUCUGCUAUGCUCAUUAGGCUUUCCUCGGUUACAAAAGCUUUGACCAUGAUUUUUAUGCUUGCAGCCUUCCCUGUUGGCUCAAAAGUUAUUAUUAUUAUUAUUAUUAUGGUUUGAGAGAGAAAGAGAUCUUAUAAACACCUUUAAACUAAGACUUUUUAAUUAGUUGUUUAUAAGUUGUCUUUAACAAUUACGUCGGUGUUUCCUGGUGAGAAGCAAGAAAACUUGCAUUUGAAAAAUACCAACCUUUUCAAAUUUAAAGGUUGAACCAUUCUUCGAUUACACUUCUUUCUCAUCCUUUUCUCCUCAACUUAUGCUCUAGACUCUAGAAUGGAUUCUACAUAAUCUUCGGGUUUUAGGCCUUAUUCCAGUGUAAAGCUAAGAAGUAAACCAGUGGGCAGGCCAUCUCUAAUCAGUUUGUGAUUAGUGUCAUGACCUAGAUCUUUAUAAGAAGUUGGGGUCAGAGGUUUGUUUACAGUGGAUGUCAUAAGAUUUAUGGGCUUUCAUUUCUAUUCUUUCCUCACUAUUUCAUAACACUUAUGCUUCUCUCACCAUUCAUAUGGUUUUACUUGGACAUCUUAAUGAGUUUUUUCGAUCUCAGUUGAUGGGAGUUAUAAUGGGAUAAUUUAGAGAAGCAAAUUAAUGGCAUCUUUCCAUUUCUGAAUUGUAUGGGGUUGUUGCCUCAAUGUUCAUGUCUUCAUCACCAAUUCUGUCAGCAGUAUGCGAGAAGUAACAGUAGUUCUGUUUUAUGCAUAUCCUGUAUUUAAUCAAUCAAUCAACUGAGAUUUGUUAUUCAGUUGCUUCUUUUACAAGUGAAAUCUCAAAGAUUUAUUUAAGAUUUUUUAAUGAAAACAUAGGGUAAUCCUGGAUAUGGUAUUGGAUAGUGAGAGAAGAAGAUGGCUAAUACACAAACUGCUUUAUUUUAAUAUUAGGACCAAAGUCCACAUCAAACAAGCUACAACAUAAAGUAAUAAACCCUCUUAUUCUAGGAUGACCGUAAUGAGGUAAUUGAACAUCACAAAUAGUCAUUGAAGCAAGGAAAUCAAAGGCUGGUAGCUUCUUAAUUUUCUAUAUUUUCCAACUAGAAUCGUGCUUGAAGGUAUUCAACCACUUUCUUGUCCAACUGGAAGGCCCUGGCAAGGAAAUCAGGAUUGAUGGGUGGAUUUGAUCCAAACACUGCAUCGGCUAUGGUGAUUACACCUGGAUUUUGGCUGUUCAGACCAGCAAUGGCUACUGCAUUAGUGUGCCCAAUGUUGAAUUGGAAGUGAAUGAGACCUAUAGGGAACACAAAAACAUCCCCCUUGUUGAGGACUUUGCUAAAGAGGCGGUUUUGAGGGUUGGAUGUGACAAAGCCAACUAAGAGUGUUCCCUCCAAGACAGUGAGGAUCUCAGUGGCACGAGGGUGAGUGUGAGGAGGGUUUUGACCAUAGGGUGCAUAAUCGAUACGAACCAGUGAUAUCCCAAGAGUGUUAAGUCCUGGUAUUGCAUCAACAUUUACUGUAGUGACAUUUGAGCCCACUCGAUUUGCUGUGUUUCCUGGAAUAUUCAGCCCUUGAAAGAAGAAAUCCUCGGCCACAGUCAGGUUUGGGUUCUUGCAGAACUUUCCAUUUACAAAUACUGCAUUUAAAAAGAAGGGGAAAAGAAAAGAUAGGUCAUUAGUAUCAAACCAUUAUCAAUGGAAAGAGUAGUGAAAAUGGCAAUAAGAUCAUUGGUCACUAUAUAUAUAGAAAUACCAGCAUUCUCGGGUUCAGGAAUGGCAACACAAGUGUCCUGAAGUGGGCUAGGAUCAAAGGCAGCGGCAAGAGAGGAAGCCAAUGCCAUGAGGGCAACAGCAACCAGGAAACUGACACCUUUCUUCAUUGUCAGAGUACUGUCUCCAACAAUCACAGCCUUUAUCUUUUGGUGGGGGUGAUAAAUUUUGCAUGGGAAAGAUGUUAAUUUAUAGACCAGAAUCGGUGAGUUAGUCUUUGCAUAAACUCACAAAGUCUUUAAUGGGUAGUUUUUUUUUUCAUUUUCAAGGACAAUUAGUUACACCAAUACAUUUUAAUUUAUGUAGGAUUAGUUAGUAUACUGAUCUUAACUAGAAUAUUCUCCAUGAGUGUGUGGAUAGUGGAGUUCAAUUAUAGGUGGAGGCAGGUCAAAUUUCAUAUCAAUCUACAUGAUCCAUGCAAUAACAUAAAUAGUAGAGCUUUCUGCUCUUUUAGUUUUAGUACCCAAACACUGAAAAAUCUCUAAAGUAGUGUAUAGACAAGCAAAUAGAAGAUUACAGAGUAGGCCAUCGGACUAGACAAUAAUCCACCCAUUUCAAACAUGGUUACUCCAUGAGGCUUGUGUAGGUUCAGUUUAAUGAGUAUCUAUAUAGCUUAAUUCACCAUUGAAAGUGUCCAGAGAUUGGCUGAUGAGAUUGAAUAUGUAGCCAAGUUCUGAGUUUCUAGCUCAUGUGCCUUCCACUGAGUGAAAAAUCCUUGGAUAAGCUCUGGGGUUGCUUCUGUUUAAUGAAAUAUUGGGAUAAAUUCAAAGAUUUUCUGCUAUGCUCGUUGGGCUUUCCUCAGUUAAAAAAGCUUUGACUACUUGCAGCCUGCCCUAUCUGAGCAAUUGGCUCAAAAGUUAUUAAUAUUAUUAUCAUGUUUUUUGAUAGUGACUUUAUUUAUGUAUUAUGAGAGGGAAAGAGAUGCUUAACAAACACCUUUGAACUAAGACUUUCUAAAUUAUUUGUUUACAAGUUUUCUUUAACAAUCAAAUCUGUGUUUUUUGGUAAGAAGCAAGAAACCUUGCAUUGGAAAAAUACCAAUUAUUUAGAUAAAGUUCUCAGAUUAGUCUAUGUUUUAUACAUAAGGUAAGCAGAUACACUUUCCAAGCUUUCCAAGUCUUCAAUGGAUGGCCUUUUUUAAAUUUAAAGGUCAAACCCUUGUUCAACAACUACACCCCUUUCCCAUCCUUUUUUCCUCAACUCAAAGUGGACUCUGCAUAAUCUUUGGGUUUUAGGACUUAUUCGAGGGUAAAUCUAAAGGAGUAACCCUGUGGACAGACCAUCUAUGAUCAGUUUGUGAUUAGUGUCAUCAGUCAUGACCCAUUAGAUCUUUAUAAGUUGAGGUGAGAAGUUUGCUGCAUGAAUUCGAAUCUACUUUCUUUCCACUUCUUAUCAGCAUGGAGUGCAUGACGAAAACUUCAGAUAAAAAUGAAAACUCAAAUUAAACUGUUUUCUUUUCCAUUCUUUCUUCACUAUGUUCAUGACACUUGUGCUUCUCCUACCAUUCAAAUGGUUUAUCUGGACAUCUUAAUUAGUUUCUUCGAUCUUAGUUGAUGGGUUAUAGUGGGAUAAUUUAGAGAAGCAAAAUGGCACCUUUCCAUUUCUGAAUUGUAUGCAGUUGUUGCCUCAAUGUUCAUUUCUUCAUCACCAAUUCUGCCGGCAGUAUUGUAAAGUGUGAUUAAAGGGUCAAAGCUUGACCCUAAUUGAUAUUCAUCCACGUAAAUAUAUAGUACAUCAAGCAAACCUAAUUAAGGGAAAACCGUGAGUUUAGGAAACAAUCCUAAACAAUAGCAACUACUUUCCUAGAAUACUUUCCUAGAAUAUAUCAUAAUAUCUCAAUCGUGAGUUUAGGAAACAAUCCUAAACAAUAGCAACUACUUUCCUAAUAUACUUUCCUAGAAUAUAUCAUAAUAUCUCAACACCCUCCCUCAAGUUGGAGCAUGAGGUUCAAAAAUGCCCAACUUGGCAAGAAGAUAAUCAAAUUGUUUCUUUCCAAGAGCCUUUGUAAAAAUAUCUGCCAAUUGUGUAACAGUAGGAACAUAUGAUGGAGCAAUCAAACCAUCUGUUAUCGCAUCCCGGACAAAGUGACAAUCAACCUCAAUGUGUUUGGUGCGUUCAUGAAAUACUGGAUUUUUGGCCAUAUGAAGGGCUGACUGACUAUCACAAAAGAGCUUGAUUGCCUUUGGGUGGUGCACACCCAGGCUCAGAAGCAACCCCUUCAACCAUUUGAGCUCACAAGUAACUGCUGCCAUAGCUCGGUAUUCCGCUUCUGCAGACGAGCGGGAAACUGUGUGUUGCUUCUUUGUCUUCCAAGAAAUAGGAGAUUGCCCAAGAAACACAAGCCAUCCGGACAAAGAGCGUCUAGUGACUGGACAUGCUGCCCAAUCAGAAUCACACCAACCCUGUAGGGACAGAUCACUAUCUGCACGUAACAAGAUACCCUGACCCGGAGUACCUUUCAAAUAACGAACGACUCUCAAAGCUGCCUCCCAAUGCUCAAUUCUAGGCUCAUGCAUAAAUUGAGAUAAUAUAUGAACCGAGUAGGCCAAAUCUGGACGGGUCACUGCCAGAUAAAUGAGUCGACCUACUAAUCUGCGAUAGGACUCAGGGUUCGACAAGAGCUCCCCAUUUGCGAGUCCUAAUCUGUGAUUUUGCUCGAUCGGGAAGCCACACGGCUUGGCUCCCAGUAAUCCGGCCUCCGAUACAAUGUCAAGUGUGUACUUACGUUGACACAAGAACAAACCAGCCGAACUCCUGGCCACCUCGAUUCCGAGGAAAUACUUCAAAACACCAAGAUCUUUCAUCUUAAAACAAUCACUGAGAUAGGCUUUAAAGGUCUUAAGAGCAGCGGAAUCAUUCCCAGAGAUAAUAAGAUCGUCGACAUACACUAGCACAUUUAUUUGAACAUUGCCCGUAGUGUAAGUAAAAAGAGAAUAAUCAGAGUAGGAUUGUAAGAAACCAUAUCCUUUAAGAGCCGUGACCAACUUGGAAAACCAACAUCUCGGAGCCUGUUUCAACCCAUAAAGUGAUUUCCGUAACCUGCAAACCAAGUUCGGAUCGGAACGCUCAAAUCCUGGGGGUAGCUUCAUAUACACUUCCUCCUCAAGAUCUCCAUGUAAAAAGGCAUUGUGAACAUCCAUCUGAUGAAGUUCCCAAUUUUUCGAAGCCGCAAUAGCCAAGAAAGCACGCACCGUAGUCAUUUUGGCAACUGGAGAAAAUGUCUCAUGAUAAUCAAUACCAGCUUCUUGAUGAUUCCCCAAAACUACUAAUCUGGAUUUGAGCCUUUCAAUAUCACCGUUUGAGAAGUACUUGGUUCUGUAAACCCACUGACUUCCCAAAGCACGCUUACCCUUUGGAAGAGGUUCAAGACUCCACGUACCAUUUUCCUCCAAAGCCCGAAUCUCCUCAUGCAUUGACUUUUGCCAACCGACAUCUUUCAUAGCCUCUUUAAAUGACUUAGGAUCAUUGCUCGAAAUAAUAGUUGCAAGAAACUUUCGAUAAUGUACAGAAAAAUUGUCACAAUUUAUAUAAUGUGCUAUGGGAUAAGGAGUACCUGAGGGAUGCUGUGGAGACGGAGUGGCGGGAGAUGGACUUUCAGCAACCACCGUAUGAGUAACAAAAUCUCGUAAUAGAACCGAAGGAAAUUUAUCCCUCAUUCCCUUUCCCAUAGGAGCAGACUGCCCAUUGCUUGAAUUGUCAAGUCCAAGUGAAUCAAGCCCAACAGUAGGAACAACUUCCGGCCCAGGUGAAAGAGGCGCUGAAGAAGCCUCGGGAUUUUGUGUUUGGGCUUGUGGGUUAGGCAAAUCAGCAUCAUCAUCGACAAAAUCAGCAAAAUCACUAUCAAUUUCAACAUUUACCGUAGGCACAAUGUUUUCCGGAAUAAUAUUCACAGCACCCGGGUUACCAAACGGAAAAACAUCCUCAAAAAACUUGACAUCACGAGAAACAAAUAAUUCCUUGGUGUCCAAAUCAAACAACUUCCACCCCUUCUUUCCAAACGGGUAACCCAAAAACACACAUUUUCUACUUCUACUUGCAAAUUUGUCACCUUUGGAUUUUUGAUCAUGAGCAAAACUAAGACAACCAAAGGUGUGAAUUGCCGCAUAUGAAGGAGGGGUGCCAAAUAGGAUUUCAAAUGGUGUUUUAUUGUGUAACAAAGGAGAGGGAGUGCGGUUUAUUAAGUGAGCAGCGGCAAGAACACUUUCGCCCCAAAAAUAAAUAGGCAAAUUUGCUUGAAAGCGUAAUGCCCUCCCCACAUUUAAAAUAUGCUUGUGUUUUCUCUCAACCCUCCCAUUUUGUUGCGGAGUUCCCACACAAGAAGUUUGGAAUAAAAUACCAGUUGCAGAAAAAUAGUCAAGUAGGCAUUUAAAUUCCGUACCAUUAUCACUUUGAACAACUUUCACUGUUUGAGAAAAUUGUCGAUCUACCAUUGCAAUAAAAGACAUAAACAUCCGAAAAACUUCUGUUUUGUCGACCAACAAAUAAAUCCACACAGCUCUUGAGAAAUCAUCAACAAUAGUUAAAAAAUAACGAGCUCCACAAGAAGAGACAUGUUUAUAAGAGCCCCACAAAUCACAAUGUAUUUUCUCAAAAAUUCUAGUUGCCUUAUUGUCACUUAAAGGAAAUUUGUCUCUAGGAUGCUUAGCACGAAAACAUAUUUCACAAGCUUUGUUUAAACUACCCUUAAGAUUGCUAACUGGAGGAAGUAACUUCACUACUUUCUCUGAAGGAUGUCCCAUCCUUUUGUGCCACAACUCCAAAGUGGAUGCUGCGUUGUGGACAGAAACAUGUUGUACCGAAUCACCUUCAGCUCCACCGAAGUAGUAAAGUCCAUCUCGCCUAACUCCCGUUCCAAUCAGCUCCCUGGUGUGGUCCUGUAUAGCACACAUAUAAGAGUUAAAUUGGACAAUACAAUGUAAGUCAUCAGUCAAUUGUGAAACCGAAAGUAAAUUGCAAUUGAGUUUCGGCACAUAAAGAACGUUUUGAAGAGUGAUGUUAUUCGACAAACGAACGGAACCAGAUUGGGUCGCAACAACAGAUUCACCAUUAGGAAGGCCAACCGGACACUCAAACAACGCUAUAGUAUCAAAUAACCAAGAUAAAUCACCGGUCACGUGAUGAGUUGCCCCGGUGUCAAUGAUCCAUGACUUCGUGUCAAACUUACCAUUCAACCUGUCAUCCAGAACUUGAGCAUUACCAAUUAAGCCCGCAAGAGCUUUCCAUUGUUUGGGCAAAAAAGGUGAAUUCAUCUCCCUUUUAGGUGGCGACAAUGGUGGUUGUUCAUCGUCGCCGGCCAUUGUUUUAUUGUGUGUGCAUGUCAGCGCUCUGAUACCAUGUAAAGUGUGAUUAAAGGGUCAAAGCUUGACCCUAAUUGAUAUUCAUCCACGUAAAUAUAUAGUACAUCAAGCAAACCUAAUUAAGGGAAAACCGUGAGUUUAGGAAACAAUCCUAAACAAUAGCAACUACUUUCCUAGAAUACUUUCCUAGAAUAUAUCAUAAUAUCUCAAUCGUGAGUUUAGGAAACAAUCCUAAACAAUAGCAACUACUUUCCUAAUAUACUUUCCUAGAAUAUAUCAUAAUAUCUCAACAAGUAUGCUGGAAGUAACAGUAGAACUAUUUUACAACCAGUCAAGUAUUGCUUCUUCAUCAAAAUUCUGCAUAUCCUGUAUAUAAUCAAUCAAGCAACUGAGAUUUGUGAUCCAGUUGUUUUUCCACAAGUGAAACAUCAAAGAUUUGGAUAAGAUUUUUUAAGACAAAUAUUGAGAUGGAGACAGGAGUAGAAGAUGCCUAACAGACAAACUGCCUUAUUUUAAUAUUAGGACCAGAGUCCACACCAAAAGAGCUACAAAAGAAAGUAAUAAACCCUCUUAUUCUAGGAUGAUUGUAAUGAGGUAAUUAAACAUCACAAAUAGUCAUUCAAGCUUGCAAAUCAAAGGUUCCUAGCUUCUUCAUUUUCUCUAUUUCCCCACUAGAAUCGUGCUUGAAGGUAUUUGACCACCUUCUUGUCCAACUGGAAGGCCCUUGCCAGGAAAUCAGGAUUGAUGGGUGGAUUUGAUCCAAAUACUGCAUUGGCUAUGGUGAUUACACCUGGAUUUUGGCUGUUCAGACCAGCAAUGGCUACUGCAUUAAUGUGCCCAAUGUUGAAUUGGAAGUGAAUGAGACCAAUAGGGAACACAAAAACAUCCCCCUUGUUUAGAACUUUGCUAAUGAGGCGGUUUUGAGGGUUGGAUGUGACAAAGCCAACUAAGAGUGUUCCCUCCAAGACGGUGAGGAUCUCAGUGGCACGAGGGUGAGUGUGAGGAGGGUUUUGACCAUAGGGUGCAUAAUCUAUACGAACCAGUGAUAUCCCAAGAGUGUUAAGCCCUGGUAUUGCAUCAACAUUUACUGUAUUGACAUUUGAGCCCACUAGAUUUGCUGUGUUUCCUGGAAUAUUCAGCCCUUGAAAGAAGAAAUCCUCGGCCACAGUCAGGUUUGGGUUCUUGCAGAACUUUCCAUUUACAAAUACUGCAUUUAAAAAGAAGGGGAAAAGAAAAGAUAGGUCAUUAGUAUCAAACCAUUAUCAAUGGAAAGAGUAGUGAAAAUGGCAAUAAGAUCAUUGGUCACUAUAUAUAUAGAAAUACCAGCAUUCUUGGGUUCAGGAAUGGCAACACAAGUGUCCUGCAGUGGGCUUGGAUCAAAGGCAGCGGCAAGAGAGGAAGCCAAUGCCAUGAGGGCAACAGCAACCAGGAAACUGACACCUUUCUUCAUUGUCAGAGUGCUGUCUCCAACAAUCAGAGUCUUUAUCUUUAGGUGGGGGUGAGAAAUUUUGCAUGGGAAAGAUGUUAAUUUAUAGACCAGAGUCAGUGAGUUAAUCUUUGCAUAAACUCACCAAGUCUUCAAUGGGUAGUUUUUUUUUUUUUUUUCUUCUUUUUCACUUUCAAGGACAAGUGGUUACACCAAUACAUUUAAAUUUAUGUAGGAUUAGUUAGUUAGUAUACUGAUCUUAAUUAGAAUAUAAAGUGAAGUUCAAUUAUUGGAGGCAGGUCCAAUUUCAUAUCAAUCUGCAUGAUCCAUGCAUUUACAUAUAUAGUACAGCUUUCUGCUCUUUUAGUAUUACUACCGAAAGACUGAAAAAUCUGUAGUGUAUAGACAAGCAAAUCGAAGAUUACAGAGUAGGUGAAGGCUCAGACUAGACAAUAAUCCACCAAUUUCAAACAUGGUUACUCCAUGAGGCUUGUGUAGGUUCGGUUUAAUAAGUAUCUAUAUAGCUUAAUUCACCAUUGAAAGUGUCCAGAGAUUGGCUGAUGAGAUUGAAUAUGUGGCCAAGUUCUGAGUUUCUAGCUCAUCUGCCUUCCACUGAGUGAAAAAUCCUUGGAUAAACUCUGGGGUUGCCUCAGUUUAAUGAAAGAUUGGGAUAAAUUCCAAGAUUUUCUGCUAUGCUCAUUGGGCUUUCCUCAGUUAAAAAAGCUUUGACCUCUUGCUGCCUGCCCUAUCUGAGCAAUUGGCUCAAAAGUUAUUAUUAUUAUUAUUAUUAUUAUGUUUUUUGAUAGGGACUUUAUUUAUGUAUUAUGAGAGAGAAAGAGAUGCUUAACAAACACCUUUAAACUAAGACUCUCUAAAUUAGUUGUUUACAAGUUGUCUUUAACAAUCAAAUCUGUGUUUUUUGGUAAGAAGCAAGAAACCUUGCAUUGGAAAAAUACCAAUUAUUUAGAUAAAGUUCUCAGAUUAGUCUAUGUUCUAUGCAUAAGGUAAGAAGAUACACCUUCCAAGUCUUCAAUGGAUGGCUUUUUUUAAAUUUUAAGGUUGAACCAUUCUUCAACAACUACACCCCUUUCUCAUCCUUUUUCCUUAAAUCAUGGUCUAGACUUCAGAGUGGACUCUGCAUAAUCUUCAGGUUUUGGGACUUAAUGCAGGGUAGAGCUAAGGAGUAAACCUGUGGACAGGCCAUCUAUAAUCAGUUUGUGAUUAGUGUCAUGACCCAUUAGUCUUUUAUAAGUUGAGGUCAGAAGCUCGUUGCAUGAAUUGAAAUCUACUUUCUUCCCACUUGUUUUCAGAAUGGAGUACAUGACAAAAACUUCAGAUAAAAAUCAAAACUCACAUUAAACUUAUAAUUAAUUGGUCUUGUCUACAGUAGAUGUCAUAAGAUUUCUGGGUUUUCAUUUCCUUUCUUUCUUCACAAUUUUCAUGACACUUAUGCUUCUCCCACCAUUCAAAUGGUUUACUUGGACAUUUUAAUUAGUUUCUUCGAUCUCGUUUGAUGGGUUAUAAUGGGAUAAUUUAGAGAAGCAAAAUGGCAUCUUUCCAUUUCUAAAUUGGAUGCAGUUGUUGCCUCAAUGUUCAUUUUUUCAUCACCAAUUCUGCCAGCAGUAUGCUGGGAGUAACAGUAACUGUUUUACAACUAGUUAAGUAUUCCUUCUUAAUCAACAUUCUGCAUAUACAGGUUAAUCAAUCAUCUGAGAGUUGUUAUCCAGUUGGUUUUUCACAAGAUAAGAUUUUUUAAGACAAAUACUGAGAUGGAGACAGAGAAGAAGAUGCCUAACAGACAAACUGCUUUAUUUUAAUAUUAGGACCAAAGUCCACUCCACAGGAGCUACAAAAGAAAGUAAUAAACCCUCUUAUUCUAGGAUGAUUGUAAUGAGGUAAUUGGACAUCACAAAUAGUCAUUCAAGCAAGUAAAUCAAAGGUUGACAGCUUCUUCAUUUUCUCCAUUUUCCCACUAGAAUCGUGCUUGAAGGAAUUCAACCACCUUCUUGUCCAACUGGAAGGCCGUUGCCAGGAAAUCGGGAUUGAUGGGUGGAUUUGAUCCAAACACUGCAUUGGCUAUGGUGAUUACACCUGGAUUUUGGCUGCUCAGACCAGCAAUGGCUACUGCAUUCAUGUGCCCAAUGUUGAAUUGGAAGUGAAUGAGACCAAUAGGGAACACAAAAACAUCCCCCUUGUUUAGAACUUUGCUAAAGAGGCGGUUUUGAGGUUUGAGGGUUGGAUGUGACAAAGCCAACUAAGAGUGUUCCCUCCAAGACAGUGAGGAUCUCAGUGGCACGAGGGUGAGUGUGAGGAGGGUUUUGACCGUAGGGUGCAUAAUCGAUACGAACCAGUGAUAUCCCAAGAGUGUUAAGUCCUGGUAUUGCAUCAACAUUUACUGUAGUGACAUUUGAGCCCACUCGAUUUGUUGUGUUUCCUGGAAUAUUCAGCCCUUGAUAGAAGAAAUCCUCGGCCACAGUCAGGUUUGGGUUCUUGCAGAACUUUCCAUUUACAAAUACUGCAUUUAAAAAAAGGGAAAAGAAAAGAUAUAUCAUUAGUAUGAAACCACCAUCAAUGGAAAGAUUAAUGAAAGUAGUGAUAAGAUCAUUGGUUACUAAAGAAAUACCAGCAUUCUUGGGUUCAUCAAUGGCAACACAAGUGUCCUGCAGUGGGCUUGGAUCAGAGGCAGAGGCAAGAGAGGAUGCCAAUGCCAUGAGGGCAACAGCUACCAGAAGACUAACACCAUUCUUCAUUGUUAGAGUCCUGUCUUCAACAAUCACAAAUCUUUGUGUUGAGGUGCGGGGUGAGAAAUUUUGCAUGGAAAACAUGUCAAUUUAUAGACGGUCUUCAAUGGGUAGGUUUUCCUUUUUUAUCCUUUUCUUCACUUUCAAAGACAAGUGGUUACACCAGUACAUGCUAAUUUAUGUGGGAUUAGUUAGUUAGUUUAUUGAUCUUAGCUAGAAUAUUCUCUAUGCAUGUGUGGAAAGUGAGGGUCAAUUAGUGGAGGCAGGUCCAAUUUCAUAUCAAUCUGCAUGAUCCAUGCAUUUAUUUUAGUAUUAGUACCCAAACAGUGAAAUAUCUGUAAAGUAGUGUAUAGGCAAGCAACUAGAAGAUUACAGAGUAGGUGCAAGCCUGGACUAUAGAAAUAGAAUAACCUAACCAAUUCAAACCUGGUUACUCAAUGAGGCUUGUGUAGGUUCAGUUUAAAGAAUAUCUAUAUAGGAAUAUUAGUGAAUUUAUACUGCUUUAGUGUAAAUGUAAUGUGACUUACUUUCAUGAAAUAGUUGAUCUCUAUUAUGUAGCCAAGUUCUGAGUUUCUAGCUCAUGUGCCUUCCACUUUGUGAAAAAUCAUUGGAUAAGCUCUGGAUUGCUUUAGUUCAAUGAAACAUUGGGAUGAAUUCAAAGAUUUUCUGCUAUGCUCAUUAGGCUUUCCUCAGUUACAAAAGCUCUGACUAUAAUUUUGAUACUUGCAGCCUGCCAUAUCUGAGCAAUUGGCUCUAAACAUGAGUGAAAUAGCUGCAUGACAAACACCUUUGAACUAGGGCAUUCUUAACUAGUUGUUAAGUUGUCUUAAAGAAUAACAAUCUGUGUUUUCUGGGGAGAAGCAAGAAACCCUGUAUUGGAAAAAUGGCAAUUAAUUAGAUAAAUUCAUCGGAUUAGUCUAUGUUUUAUACAUAAGGUAAGCAGAUACACUUUCCAAGUCUUCAAUGGAUGGCAUUUUUUAAAUUUAAAGGUUGAACCAUUCUUCAACAACUACACCCCUUGCUCAUCCUUUUUCCCUCAACUCAUGGUCUGGACUUUAGAGUGGACUCUGCGUAAUGUUUGGGUUUCAGGACUAAUUCCAGGGUAGAGCUAAGGAGUAAACCUGUGGACAGGCCAUCUAUAAUCAGUUUGUGAUUAGUGUCAUGACCCAUUAGUCUUUUAUAAGUUGAGGUCAGAAGCUUGUUGCAUGAAUUGAAAUCUACUUUCUUCCCACUUGUUUUCAGAAUGGAGUACAUGACAAAAACAUCAGAUAAAAAUCAAAACUCACAUUAAACUUAUAAAUAAUUGGUCUUGUCUACAGUAGAUGUCAUAAGAUUUCUGGGUUUUCAUUUCCUUUCUUUCUUCACAAUUUUCAUGACACUUAUGCUUCUCCCACCAUUCAAAUGGUUUACUUGGACAUCUUAAUUAGUUUCUUCGAUCUCGGUUGAUGAGUUAUAAUGGGAAAAUAUAGAGAAGCAAAAUGGCAUCUUUUUUAUUUUUGAAUUCUCUGCAGUUGUUGCCUCAAUGUUCAUUUCUUCAUCACCAAUUCUGCCAGCAGUAUGCUGGAAGUAACAGUAGUACUGUUUUACAACUAGCUAAGUAUUCCUUCUUAAUAAAAAUUCUGCACAUGCAGGUUAAUCAAUCAACUGAGAGUUGUUAUCCAGUUGUUUUUUCACAAGAUAAAAUUUUUUAAGACAAAUAUUGAGAUGGAGACAGAGAAGAAGAUGCCUAACAGACAAACUGCUUUAUUUUAAUAUUAGGACCAAAGUCCACAACACAAGAGCUACAAAAGAAAGUAAUAAACCCUCUUAUUCUAGGAUGAUUGUAAUGAGGUAAAUGAACAUCACAAAUAGUCAUUCAAGCAAGCAAAUCAAAGGUUCAUAGCUUCUUCAUUUUCUCUAUUUCCCCACUAGAAUCGUGCUUGAAGGAAUUCAACCACCUUCUUGUCCAACUGGAAGGCCUUUGCCAGGAAAUCAGGAUUGAUUGGUGGAUUGGAUCCAAACACUGCAUUGGCUAUGGUGAUUACACCUGGAUUUUGGCUGCUCAGACCAGCAAUGGCUACUGCAUUCAUGUGCCCAAUAUUGAAUUGGAAGUGAAUGAGACCAAUAGGGAACACAAAAACAUCACCCUUGUUGAGGACUUUGCUAAAGAGGCGGUUUUGAGGGUUGGAUGUGACAAAGCCAACUAAGAGAGUUCCCUCCAAGACAGUGAGGAUCUCAGUGGCACGAGGGUGAGUGUGAGGAGGGUUUUGACCAUAGGGUGCAUAAUCGAUACGAACCAGUGAUAUCCCAAGAGUGUUCAGUCCUGGUAUCACAUCAACAUUUACUGUAGUGACACUUGAGCCCACUAGAUUUGAUGUGUUUCCUGGAAUAUUCAGCCCUUUAGAGAAGAAAUCCUCGGCGACGGUCAGGUUUGGGUUCUUGCAGAACUUUCCAUUUACAAACACUGCA